AUAUAAUAUUUUUUUUUUAAUUAUACUUUAAGUUUUAGGGUACAUGUGCAGGUUUGUUACAUAUGUAAACAUGCGCCAUGCUGGUGUGCUGCACCCAUUAACUCGUCAUUUAACAUUAGGUAUAUCUCCUAAUGCUAUCCCUCCUCCCUCCCCCAACCCCACAACAGGCCCCAGUGUGUGAUAUUCCCCUUCCUGUGUCCAUGUGUUCUCAUUGUUCAAUUCCCACCUAUGAGGGAGAACUUGCAGUGUUUGGUUUUCUGUCCCUGCGAUAGUUUGCUCAGAAUGAUGGUUUCCAUCUUCAUCAAUAUCCCUACAAAGGACAUGAACUCAUCUUUUUUUAUGGCUGCAUAGUAUUCGUAUAUGUGCCACAUUAUCUUAAUCCAGUCUAUCAUUGUUGGACAUUUGGGUUGGUUCCAAGUCUUUGCUAUUGUGAAUAGUGCCAAAAUAAACAUAUAUGUGCAUGUGUCUUUAUAAUAGCAUAAUAUAUAAUCUGUUGGGUAUAUAAGCAGUAAGGGGAUUGCUGGGUCAAAUGGUAUUUCUAGUUCUAGAUCCUUGAGGAAUCGCCACACUGUCUUCCACAAUGGUUGAAAUAGUUUACACUCCCACCAACAGUGUAAAAGUGUUCCUAUUUCUCCACAUCCUCUACAGCAUCUGUUGUUUCCUGACUUUUUAGUGAUUGCCGUUCUAAUUGGUAUGAGAUGGUAUCUCAUUGUGGUUUUGAUUUGCAUUUCUCUGAUGGCCAGUGAUGAUGAGCAUUUCUUCAUGUGUCUGUUGGCUCCAUAAAUGUCUUCUUUUGAGAAGAGUCUGUUCAUAUCCUUCACCCACUUUUUGAUGGGGUUGUUUGAUUUCUUCUUGUAAGUUUGUUUAAGUACUUUUAAGAUUCUGGAUAUUAGCCCUUUGUCCAGGUGGAUAGAUUACAAAAAUUUUUUCCCAUUCUGUAGGUUGCCUGUUCACUCUGAUGGUAGUUUCUUUUGCUGUGCAGAAGCUCUUUAGUUCAAUUAGAUCCAAUUUGUCAAUUUUGGCUUUUGUUGCCAUUGCUUUGGUGUUUUUGUCAUCAAGUCCUUGCCCAUGCCUAUGUUCUGAAUGAUAUUGCCUAGGUUUUCUUCUAGGGUUUUUAUGGUUUUAGGUCUAACAUUUAAGUCUUUAAUCCAUCUUGAAUUGAUUUUUGUAUGAGGUGUAAGGAAGGGAUCCAGUUUCAGCUUUCUACAUAUGGCUAGCCAGUUUUCCCAGCACCAUUUAUUAAAUAGGGAAUCCUUUCCCCAUUUCUUGUUUUUGUCAGGUUUGUCAAAGAUCAGAUAGUUGUAGAUAUGUGGCGUUAUUUCUGAGGGCUCUGUUCUGUCCCAUUGAUCUAUAUCUCUGUUUUGGUAUCAGUACCAUGCUGUUUUGGUUACUGUAGCCUUGUAGUAUAGUUUGAAGUCAGGUAGCGUGAUGCCUCCGGCUUUGUUCUUUUGGCUUAGGAUUGACUUGGCGAUGCAGGCUCUUUUUUGGUUCCAUAUGAACUUUAAAGUAGUUUUUUCCACUUCUGUGAAGAAAGUCAUUGGUAGCUUGAUGGGGAUGGCAUUGAAUCUAUAAAUUACCUUGGGCAGUAUGGCCAUUUUCACAAUAUUGAUUCUUCCUACCCAUAAGCAUGGAAUGUUCUUCCAUUUGUUUGUAUCCUCUUUUAUUUCAUUGAGCAGUGGUUUGUAGUUCUCCUUGAAGAGGUCCUUCCCAUCCCUUGUAAGUUGGAUUCCUAGGUGUUUUAUUCUCUUUGAAGCAAUUGUGAAUGGGAGUUCACUUAUGAUUUGGCUCUCUGUUUGUCUGUUAUUGGUGGAUAGGAAUGUUUGUGAUUUUUGCACAUUGAUUUUGUAUCCUGAGACUUUGCUGAAGUUGCUUAUCGGCUUAAGGAGAUUUUGGGCUGAGAUGGUGGAGUUUUCUAAAUAUACAAUCAUGUCAUCUGCAAACAAGGACAAUUUGACUUCCUGUUUUCCUAAUUGAAUACCUUUAUUUCCUUCUCCUGCCUGAUUGCCCUGGCCAGAACUUCCAACACUAUGUUGAAUAGGAGUGGUGAGAGUGGGCAUCCCUGUCUUGUGGCAGUUUUCAAAGGGAAUGCUUCCAGUUUUUGCCCAUUCAGUAUGAUAUUGGCUGUGGGUUUGUCAUAGAUAGCUCUUAUUAUUUUGAGAUACGUCCCAUCAAUACCUAGUUCAUUGACAGUUUUUAGCAUGAAGGGCUGUUGAAUUUUGUCAAAGGCCUUUUCUGCAUCUAUUGAGAUAAUCAUGUGGUUUUUGUCUUUGGUUCUGUUUAUAUGCUGGAUUAUGUGUGUUGAUUUGCAUAUGUUGAACCAGCCUUGCAUCUCAGGGAUGAAGCCAACUUGAUCUUGGUGGAUAAGCUUUUUGAUGUGAUGCUGGAUUUGGUUUGCCAGUAUUUUAUUGAGGAUUUUUGCAUCGAUGUUCCUCAGGGAUAUUGGUCUAAAAUUCUCUUUUUUUGUUGUGUCUCUGUCAGGAUUCGGUAUCAGGAUGAUGCUGGCCUCAUAAAAUGGGUUAGAGAGGAUUCCCUGUUUUUGUAUUGAUUGGAAUAGUUUCAGAAGGAAUGGUACCACCUCCUCUUUGUACCUCUGGUAAAAUUCAGCUGUGAAUCCGUCUGGUCCUGGACAUUUUUUGGUUGGUAGGCUAUUAAUUAUUUCCUCAAUUUCAGAGCCUGUUAUUGGUCUAUUCAAGGAUUCAACUUCUUCCUGGUGUAGUCUUGGGAGGGUGUAUGUGUCGAGGAAUGUAUCCAUUUCUUCUAGAUUUUCUAGUUUAUUUGCAUAGAGGUGUUUAUAGUAUUCUCUGAUGGUAGUUUGUAUUUCUGUGGGAUCGGUGGUGAUAUCCCUUUAUCAUUUUUAUUGUGUUUAUUUGAUUCUUCUCUCGUUUCUUCUUUAUUAGUCUUGCUAGUGGUCUAUCUAUUUUGUUGAUCUUUUAAAAAACCCAGCUCCUGGAUUCAUUGAUUUUUUGAAGGUUUUUUUGUGUCUCUAUUUCCUUCAGUUCUGCUCUGAUCUUAGUUAUUUCUUGCCUUCUGCUAGCUUUUGAAUGUGUUUGCUCUUGCUUUUCUAGUUCUUUCAAUUGUGAUGUUAGGGUGUCAAUUUUGGAUCUUUCCUGCUUUCUCUUGUUGGCAUUUAGUGCUAUAAAUUUCCCUCUACACACUGCUUUGAAUGCAUCCCAGAGAUUCUGGUAUGUUGUGUCUUUGUUCUCUUUGGUUUCAAAGAACAUCUUUAUUUCUGCCUUCUUUUCGUUAUGUACCCAGUAGUCCUUCAGGAGCAGGUUGUUCAGUUUCCAUGUAGUUGUGCAGUUUUGAGUGAGUUUCCUAAUCCUGAGUUCUAAUUUGAUUGCACUGUUGUCUGAGAGACAGUUUGUUGUGAUUUCUAUUCUUUUAUAUUUGCUGAGGAGUGCUUUACUUCCAACUAUUGGUCAAUUUAAGUAUAAGUGCGAUGGGGUGCUGAGAAGAAUGUAUAUUCUGUUGAUUUGGGGUAGAGAGUUCUGUAGAUGUCUGUUAGGUCUGCUUGGUGCAGAGCUGAGUUCAAAUCCUGGAUAUCCUUGUUAACUUUCUGUCUCGUUGAUCUGUCUAAUGUUGACAGUGGGGUGUUAAAGUCACCCAUUAUUAUUGUGUGGGAGUCUAAGUCUCUUUGUACAUCUCUAGGGAUUGGCUUUAUGAAUCUGGGUGCUCCUGUAUUGGGUGCAUAUAUAUUUAGGAUACUUAGGGGUGCAUAUAUAUUUAGGAUAGUUAGCUCUUCUUGUUGAAUUGAUCCCUUUACCAUUAUAUGAUGGCCUUCUAUGUCUCUUUUGAUCUUUGUUGGCUUAAAGUCUGUUUUAUCUGAGACUAGGAUUGCAACCUCUGCUUUUUUUUGUUUUCCAUUUGCUUGGUAGAUCUUCUUCCAUCCCUUUGUUUUGAACCUAUAUGUGUCUCUGCAUGUGAGAUGGGUCUCCUGAAUACAGCACACUGAUGGGUCUUGACUCUUUAUCCAAUUUGCUAGCCUGUGUCUUUUAAUUGGAGCAUUUAGCCCAUUUACAUUUAAGGUUAAUAUUGUUAUGUCUGAAUUUGAUCCUGUCAUUAUGAUGUUAGCUGGUUAUUUUGCCCUUUAGUUGAGGCAGUUUCUUCCUAGCAUUGAUGGUCUUUACAGUUUGGCAUGUUUUUGCAGUGGCUGGUACUGGUUGUUCCUUUCCGUGUUUACUGCUUCUUUCAGGAGCUCUUGUAGGGCAGGCCCGGUGGUGACAAAAUCUCUCAGCAUUUGCUUGUCUGUGAAGUAUUUUAUUUCUCCUUCACUUAUGAAGCUUAGUUUGGCGGGAUAUGAAGUUCUGUGCUGAAAAUUCUUUUCAUUAAGAAUGUUGAAUAUUGGCCCCCACUCUCUUCUGGCUUGUAGCGUUUCUGCUGAGAGAUCUGCUGUUAGUCUGAUGGGCUUCCCUUUGUGGGUAACCCAACCUUUCUCUCUGGCUGCCCUUAACCUUUUUUCCUUCAUUUCAACCUUGGUGAAUCUGACAAUUCUGUGUCUCAGGGUUGCUCUUCUCGUGGGGUAUCUUUGUGGUGUUCUCUGUAUUUCCCGAAUUUGAAUGUUGGCCUGCCUUGCUAAGUUGUGGAAGUUCUCCUGGAUAAUAUCCUGAAGAGUAUUUUCCAACUUAGUUCCAUUCUCCCCGUCACUUUCAGGUACACCAAUCAAAUGUAGAUUUGGUCUUUUCACAUAGCCCCAUAUUUCUUGGAGGCUUUGUCCAUUUCUUUGUACUCUUUUUUCUCUAAACUUCUCUUCUCACUUCAUUUCAUUCAUUUGAUCUUCAAUCACUGAUCACCUUUCUUCCACUUGAUUGAAUCGGCUACUGAAGCUUGUGCAUGCGUCACGUAGUUCUUGUGCCAUUGUUUUCACCUCCAUCUGGUCAUUUAAGGUCUUCUCUAUGCCAUUUAUUCUGGUUAGCCAUUCAUCUAAUCUUUUUUCAAGGUUUUUAGCUUGAUUGCGAUGGGUUCGAACAUCCUCCUUUAGCUUGGAGAAGUUUGUUAUUACCAACCUUCCGAAGCCUACUUCUGUCAACUCAUCAAAGUCAUUCUCCAUCCAGCUUUGUUCCGUUGCUGUCAAGGAGCUGUGACCCUUUGGAGGAGAAGAGGUGCUGUGGUUUUUAGACUUUUCAGCUUUUCUGCUCUGGUUUCCCCCAUCUUUGUCAUUUUAUCUACCUUUGGUCUUUGAUGAUGGUGACCUACAGAUGGGGUUUUGGUGUGGAUGUCCUUUUUGCUGAUGUUGAUGCUAUUGCUUUUGUUUGUUAGUUUUCCUUCUAACAGAUUCCUCAGCUGCAGGUCUGUUGGAGUUUGCUGGAGGUCCACUCCAGACCCUGUUUUCCUGGGUAUCACUGGCAGAGGCUUCAGAACAGCAAAUAUUGCAGAACAGCAAAUGUUGCUGCCUGAUCCUUCCUCUGGAAGCUUUGUCUCAGAGGGCCACCUGGCUGUAUGUGUCAGUUAGCCCCUACUGUGAGGUGUCUCCCAGUUAGGCUACUUGGGGGUCAGGGACCCACUUGAGGAGGCAGUCUGUCCAUUCUCAGAGCUUAAACUCCAUUCUGGGGGAACCACUGCUCUCUUCAGAGCUGUCAGACAGGGAAGUUUAAGGCUGUAGAAACUUCUGCUGUAGAAAGUUUCUGCUGCCUUCUGUUCAGCUAAGCCCUGCCCCUAGAGGUGGAGUCUACAGAGGCAGGCAGUCCUUGUUGAGUUGUGGCUGGCUCCACCCAGUUCAAGCUUCCUGGCCACUUUGUUUACCUAGUCAACCCUCAGCAAUGGCGGAUGCCCCUCCCCCAGCCUGUCUGCCGCCUCCCAGUUCGAUCUCAGACUGCUGCGCUAGCAGUGAGCAAGGCUCCAUGGGUGUGGGAUCCUCCCAGCCAGGUGCGGGAUAUAAUCUCCUGGUGUGCCAUUUGCGAAGACUGUUGGAAAAGUGCAGUAUUAGGGUGGAAGUGUCCUGAUUUUCCAGGUACCAUCUGUCAUGGCUUCCCUUGGCUAGGAAAGGGAAAUCCCCCAACCCCUUGUACUUCCUGGGUGAGGUGAUGCCCCGCCCUGCUUCAGCUCACCCUCUCCAUGGGCUACACCCACCGUGCAACCAGUCCCAAUGAGAUGAACCAGGUACUUCAGUUGGAAAUGCAGAGAUCAUCUGUCUUCUGUGUUGAUAAUGCUGGGAGCUGUAGACCAGAGCUGUUCCUAUUUGGCCAUCUUGGUCCCUCCCCUUGUUUUUUUUUCUGAUUUCAACUUGACAGCAGAACUCAGCCAUGCUGAUGCUGCAGACGCAUGUUGGUGGGAACUUUUCAUUGUUCGAUUCUGGAUUUAUGAUAAAUGGAUUCACUUACUAAAGUUUUGUAGAGAGAGUAACAACCAUUUAAUCACCUAGAUGAUAUUUCCUUUAUAAAAUCAAACAUAUCUGGUGGUUUUAGAGCAAUAUUUUUUACCUCAGUCACUUAUGUUUAUUAGACAAGAAUACUAAGUGUCAAGAUGUUUGCAUUGCCUUUCAUAUUUUUAUUUAGGGGACAGCGUAAUGAUAAAUGACUUUGAAUAUAUAACCAGACACACCUUCAUCCCCCUCCAAAUCUGUGCUAAUUUACUGUUUUUUAUAUUUCAUGUAUGAAGCUACAUUGUUUUUACCCAUGGAUUAAAGUAAAAUGAUACAAUGAUACCUGAAUCCUGGCCAAAUAACAUGAAAUGGCAACUGCCAAAUUGUUCUGCAAAAUUUUACAAGGUAUUAUGGUAUUGAGGAUAUCCCAAGAAAACUUGAGAGGCAUUAUCUUUCUCAUUGGAGACUGAUAUUCCUGUAUCAAGUAAAGUCUCAGGAAAAAGAACCAUGUGUGACUAUUUUAAUGUAACCUCUUGGUUGAAAUAAAAUGAUUAAAAGUAGUGUUUAUCUUGUUGAUAACUGAGAGGCAAAUAUUAAAAAUUUUGUUCUGAGAUGAAGAGAAUUCACAUGAUAAGUCUCUGGGAUGUGAACUAAACUGGGAGAGCACCAGGACCAUUUCUAAGACAUACAGUUAAUUAGGGUUUGGGUAAACAGAAUAAUGUUCCCCACUCCCUAAAAAAGAUAUUUACAUCCAAGUUCUUAGAUACUGGAAACACAUUACAAUUCAUGGCAAAGAGAAUAUAAGGUUGCAAAUGGGAUCAAAAUUGCUGAUAUGCUGAUGAAAAAGAAGAAGACUAUUAUGAAUUAUCAUGGUGGGCCCAGUAGAAUCAUAAGCAUCAAAAACCAUGGAAGAGUGAAGAAUAAACUGUAUCAAAGUGAUAGAUCAUGAGAAAGACUCAAUUGGAUAUAUUUUUAAUUGUUUGCUUUAGUGAGUCUUUCCACUUUAGCAUACAUUUUAUUCAGUUCAACUGUGCAAAUGUGAUUCAUUUUAUAUGCCUGUCACUAAAUUGGGUGCUAAAAAUAAAGUGAGAGAACACAAAAUAACAAAAAUUGAUUUCUAAAGAUGGAGGGCAAAGGGCAUUAGGAAUAUAGAUAGUGUGCACCCUAUACAGGCAUGAUUGUAAAUGUAUUCAUUAUAUAUAGAGUAGUAAUUAUAUAUAUAUAAUUAUUUGGUUUAGAAAAGAGUGCAGGGGGUACAUUAUUAAGAAUUUAGCGUCAAGGUUAAUCAAGAAUAAGUGAGUAAAAUGAAAAUAAUAGUGAUGGUAAUAAUUUCAAACACUGAAGGAAGAACAUUGAUGAUAUGAAGUCAUUUUUUUUCAGAUCUACAAAAUAUGUUUCUUCUAUGCCAUUAGGAUGAACACAGUUUUCACUUAUGUUAUCUUUUAAAAAUGCCUUUAAUUGUCAAGCUAGCAUUAGAAUCUCAGCCAACAUCUUCCUUCUUCUCUUCCACAUUUUUACAUUUUUUCAGGAUCACAGGCCUAAGACCCAUGACCUGGUCACCUGUCAUUUGGCCUUUAUCCACCUAGUAAUGCUCUUCACUGCAAUGGAGGUUUUGUCUCCAGACAUGUUUCAGUCACUGAAUUUUCAGAAUAACUUUAGAUGUAAAGCUUUUUUUUUUUUUUUAAGGUGGAGUCUCUCUCUGUUGGCCAGGCUGGAGUGCAGUGGUGCGAUCUCAGCUCACUGCAAGCUCCGCCUCCCGGGUUCACGCCAUUCUCCUGCCUCAGCCUCCCAAGUGGCUGGGACUACAGGCGCCCGCCACCAUGCCCGGCUAAUUUUUUUUGUAUUUUUUAGUAGAGGCGGGGUUUCACCGUGUUAGCCAGGAUGGUCUCGAUCUCCUGACCUCAUGAUCUGCCCGCCUCAGCCUCCCAAAGUGCUAAGAUUACAGGCGUGAGCCACCGCGUCCGGCCUAAAGCUUUCUUCUAUGUGCACAAGAUGAUGAGGGGCCUCUCCAUCUGCACCCCUGCCUCCUGAGCAUGCUCCAGGACAUUACCAUCAGCCUCAGCACCUCCUGGUUGGUGAGAUUUAAACAUAAAUUUACAAAAUACGAUAUCCUGGGCUUAUUCGUUUUUUGGUUUAGCAAUUUGUCUUUCAGUAGUGACAUGAUAAUCUACACUGUAGGUUAUUCCAAUGACCCAGAUAAUUUUGAAUAUCAGCAAAUAUUGCACAUUUUUCCCAAUGAAUGUCAUCAUCAGGGCGCUAUUUCUUAUGCUAUCAUUAUCCAGAGAUGCUUUCUUCAUAGGAAUCCCGCUGCUCUCAAGUGUAUACAUGGUCAUUCUUUUGUCCAGGCAUCAGACACACUCCCAGCACUUUCACAGCAGCAGCCUUAUAUUAAGGACCUCCCUAGUGAAAAUGGCCACCAAGACCAUCCUGAUGCUGGUGAAUUUCUUUGUGCUCAUGUACUCAGUGGACUUCAUCCUCUCAUCAUCCACAAUGCUGUUAUGGGUAAUUGGCCCUGUCACCUAUGGUGUCCACAAGUUGUGGUCAAUGUCUGUGCCACUGUCAGUCCUCUGGUGCUAAUCAGAGCUGAUAAAGGAAUCAUCAAUAUUCUGCAAACGUUUCAAUGGAAGCGCCAUCUAUUUUUAACAAGUUGGUGAUAAAAUUUUCUAAAAAUUAUUUCUUUGUAAUCCAUUAAAUUAUACAAAAAGCACAUAAUUUUCUUUCUGAUUUAAAUAAAACAUGUGAAUUGUACUUUUAUAAUAUCUCAAUAUCUUUUAAUUUUUUGGUGCCAAGAACUAUGUGCUUUCCUCAGUUCAAUGUCCACUAUGAUUUUGUAUUCUCAAGGUCUGUCUCUCAUCCCUUCAUUUUAAUUUUACCUUUAUACAGGAAAACGUUAUUUUCUUCUCGAGUACACUCUUACGCAGCUCCUAUUGGCAAGCAAAUCUCUUAGUUUUAAUUUUUGAAGUUAUUUUAAUUUUUCUUAUUUAUUGAAGAUAUUUAGCUAUAUUCAAAUUCUAGCUUGAAUAAAAAAUUUUUAAGCAUAAUUUUAAAAUUUGUUUUUAAUUAAAAAUAACAUUGUGUAAGUUUAUUAUGUAUGUUUUGAAUUACAUAUAGAUUAUAAAAUGAUUAAAUCUAGCUAAUUAACAAAUGCAUGAUCUAAAAGUUAUUAUUUUUUUGUGGUGAAAACACUUAACAUCAACUACCUUUUCAUUUUUCAGGACUGCUGCAAUAUAUCAUAAUUAAGUAUGGCUGCCGUGCUGCAUAACGGAUCUUGUAAAAUGUAUUUCUCCUACCUAAUUGUAAUUAUGUUUCCUUUGACCAACAUCUUUCCAUCCUGUCCUCCCCACUAACCACCCCAGGCUCUGGUAACCACCAUUCUACUCUCUACUUCUAAGAGAUAAGCUUGUUUAGAUUCCACAUUUGAAUAAAUUCCUGUGUUAUUUGUCUCUCUGUGUCUGGCUUAUUUCACUUGACAUGAUGUCCUUCAGGUUCAUCUAUGUUGUCUUAAAUGGCAGAAUUUUAUUCUUUGAUGGGCACUGUGAUUGAUUCCAUAUCUUGGCCAUUGUCAAUAGUGCUGCAAUAAACAUGGGAGUGUAGCUAUCUCUUUAACAUACUGAUUUUAUUUCUUUUGGUUAUAUGCCCAGUUGUGGAAUUGCUGGAACAUACAGUAGUUCUAUUUUUGGGUUGAGAAACUUCCAUACUUGUUUUUCAUAGUGGCUGUAUUAAUUUGUAUUCAAACCAACAGUUUAUAAGAGUUCCCUUUAUUCCACAUCCUUGCCAACACUUGUUCUCUUUUGUUGUUUCGAUUAUGGCCAUUCUAGUUAAGAUAAGGUAAUGUCUGGUAUUGUUUUGAUUUGCAUCUCCCUGGAGGUGAUAAAUGCCAAGACAGAGAAACUGGGAGAUACAAGAGGACAGAAAUGACUCAGUGAUAAACACCAUGGCUUCUCACCCACAAUCGGCACACUCUGAUCCUCUAACCAAAUGACAAGCCACAGUUCAAUUACUCCUUUUAAAGAAAAAUGAGAAAAAAGAUCUCUAAAAACAAGGACAGGCAAGGAGAGUGUCCCCCUUUGGCACCCCAGUUGGCUUUAUGUGUGAUAAUUAUAGCACUUCUUCUUGCAAACAUUUGUGUAAAGGGAGGAUUUUACUAAGGACGACCAAUAUCUAAGGUUCCCAAAAUGAAGAACUUUAAAUAUUCCCAAACUGGUCUUCUUGUAUGCUAAAUUAGAGAAGUUAGAUUUCUGCAUCAAGGAAAAUAAAUGAGGGUUGUAUUUUAGCUGGCACCUAAAACCAUCCAAAAGUGGAAAUGAUAAACUUAUUUCUUUCCAGAAAGGUAACAACAAAAUAUUUGAAACUACCUCAGAAUUAAAGAAAAGUAGCAAAAUCAGCUUCUAAAAUCAGGAAGCUGCCAGAAACUGUCUCUUCUUUUCCUUCCCCUAAACCUCUGCUUUCUAAACUUCCUUGCCUGGAUGAUUUCAUUUUUUUUCUCUUUCUCCUCCCUGUAUUCCUUCUUCUUAAACCACAAAGGGUCCAGAAAUAGCUACAGAAGAAGACAAAAUAGUAGUCAUUUCUUUUAAAACAAAACCCACAGGAAGAGUGGGUUCAAACAUAAGAUAUACACCUUACACCAAGUCAGAAUUAAGUGCUCUGAUGUUUGGAUUUCCUGAUCUGACUCAAGACACCUUAGGUUUGCCAAGGAAUUCCAAAUAAUGCUUAAGACCUAUGAUUCAGGGUUUUCAAACCAAUAUCAGCUAAUUGAUUUACUAGUCCUCCAAACAAAGCCAAAGAAUGCUACAAGGUAGUGAAUUAGAAACAGCUUUAGCAGAUUUUAACAAACUAAAGUGCAAAUGGGAGAGAGAAGUGUAGGGAGUUUUGCAACUGCCUCUGUGGGAAUUUACCACAGCUAUUCCCCGUAAUCCUAUAGACUGGGCAAAAUACAACAAUGUAAUAUACACCCCAGCAAAACCAUACCUGAUUAUUAUAUCACAUUUAUUUUUAUUUUUUGUGAGUAUACAGUAGUUGUGUGUAUAAAUGGGGUACAUGAGAUACUUUGAUACAGGCAUGCAACGUGUAACAAUCACAGCAUGGUAAAUGGGGUAUCCAUCUCCUCAAGCAUUUAUUCUUUGUAUUACAAAAAUUGAAUUAUAUUAUUUCAGUUAUUUUAAAAGAUACAACUAAAUUAUUAUUGAUUAUAAUAAUUGUCAAUUAUUGACAAUUGCAGUGUUGUGGUAUCAAAUACCACUGUUGUGCUAUCAGUACGAACUGUGCUAUCAGUACAAAUACUACUGUUGUGCUAUCAGUACAAACUGUGCUAUCAGUACAAAUACUACUGUUGCGCUAUCAGCACAAAUACCCUGUUGUGCAAUCAGAUAGUACCUCUACCUCUUAUUCAUUCUUUUUAACUAUUUUUUGUACCCAUUAGCCAUCCUCACUUCCCUCCAUGCCCCUACCAAACUGCCCCCCUACUAUGCUUCUCAGCCUCUGGUAACCAUCCUUUUACUCUCUAUCUCCAUGAGUUCAACUCAAUGGGAUCCUUAGCGCCCAUAAAUAAGUGAGAACAUGCAAAGUUUGUCUUUCUGUGCCUGGCUUAUUUCAUUUAACAUAAUGACCCUCAUCCAUGUUGUUACAAAUGACAGAAUCUCAUUCUUUUUUUCGGCUCCACUGUGUAUACAUACUACAUUUUCUUUAUCCAUUCAUCUGUUGAUUGACACUUAUGUUGCUUCCAAAUCUUGGCUGUUUUCAACAAUGCUGCAACAAACAUGGGAAUGUAGACAUCUCUUCAAUAUACUGAGUUCCUUUCUUGUGAGUAUAUACUUAGCAGUGAAAUUGCUGGAUUAUAUGGAAGCUCUAUUUUAGUUUUAUGAGGAAUCUCCAAGCUGUUUUCCAUAGUGGUUGUACUAAUUUACAUUUCCACCAACAGUGUACCAGGCUUCCUAUUUCUCCACAUUCUCAGUAGCAUUUGCUGUUGCCUGACUUUUGGACAAAAUUCAUUUUAACUGGGAUAAGAUGAUAUCUCAUUGUAGUUUUGAUUUGCAUGUCUCUGAUAAUAUACCUGCUUGCAAUUUAUAUGUCUUCUUUUAAGAAAUGUUUAUUGAAAUAUUUUGCCCAUUUUAAAAAUCAGAUUACUAGAUUUUUUUCCUAUACAGUAGUUUGAGCUGCUUAUCUGUUCUAGUUAUUAAUCCUUUGUCAGGUGAAUAGUUUGCAAAUAUGUUCUCCUAUUCUGUGGGUUGUCUCCUCACUUUAUUGAUCAUUUCCUUUGACAUGCAGAAGAUUUUUAACUUGAUGUAACUUCAUUUGUCCAUAUUUGCUUUGGUUGCCUGUGCUUGUGGGGUAUUACUCAAGACAUUUUUGGCAAGACCUGGAGAGACUUUCCGCAAUGUUUUCUUGUAGUAGUUUUUUAAUUUGAGGUCUUAGAUUUAAGUAUUUAAUCCAUUUUGAUUUGACUUUUGUAUAUGGCAAGAGUUGGGGUUAUAGUUUCAUUCUUUUGCAUGUAGAGAUCCAGUUUUCCAAGCACGAUUUAUUGAAGAGAUUGUCUUUUCCCUAAUUUAAGUUCUUGGCACCUUUGUUGAAAAUGAGUUCAGUGAAAAUGUAUAAAAUUUUUUUCUCGGUUAUCUGUUCAAUUCCAUUGGUUUAUGUGUCUAUUUUUAUGCCAGUACCAGGCUGCUACAGUUACUAUAGCUUUGUAAUAUAAUUUGAAGUCAGUUAAUGCGAUUCCUGCAUUUAAUCUGUGAAUUGCUUUGGGUAAUAUAGACAUUUUAACAUACUAACACUUUCAAUCCAUGAACAUCGAAUAUCUUUCAAUUUUUGUGUCUUCAAUUUAUUUUAUGAUUGUGUUAUAGUUUUUGUUGUAGAAAUCCUUUACUUCUUUGGUUGAUUUCUAUGUAUUUAGUUCUAUCUGUGGCUAUUAUAAAUGGUAUUUCUUUUUAAUUUCUUUUUCAGAUUGUUCACUCUUGGCUUAUAGAAAUGCUACUGAUUCCUGCUGGGCGCGGUGGCUCACACCUGUAUCCCAGCACUCUGGGAAGCCGAGGCAGGCAGAUCACCAGGUCAGGAGAUCGAGACCAUACUGGCUAACAUGGUGAAACCCCGUCUCUACUAAAAAUACAAAAAAAAUUAGCUGGGCGUGAUGGUGGGCUUCUGUAGCCCCAGGUCCUCGGGAGGCUGAGGCAGGAGAAUGGUGUGAACCCAGGAGGCGGAGCUUGCAGUGAGCCAAGAUUGCGCCACUGCACUCCAGCCUGGGUGACAGAGCAAGACUCUGUCUCAAAAAAAAAAAAAAAAAAAGAAAUGCUACUGAUUUUUAUAUAUUGAUUUGUAUCCUGAAAUUCUACUGGAUUUAUCAGUUCUAGUAGUUUUUGUGGAGUCACUAGGUUUUUUACAAAUGUAAGAUUAUAUCAUGUGCAAACAAGGAUAAUUUGUCUUUUUCCCUUCUAUUUAGAUGCCCUUUAUUUCUCUCUCUUGUCUGAUUGCUCUUGCUAGGACUUCCAGUACUAUGGAGAAUAACAGUAGUGAAAGUGGGCAUCCUGGUCAUGUUCCAGAUCUUAGAAAAGGGGAUUUCAGUGUUUCCCCUGUCAGUAUGAUACUAGCUGUGGGUAUGUCAUAUAUGGGUUUUAUUAUGUUAAUAAUGUUCUUUCUCUACCCAGGUUUUUGAGGGUUUUUAAUCAUGAUGGGAUGUCGAAUUUUAUCAAAUGCUUUUUUUUAAAUGCCUUAAUUUAAAUGAUUAUAUAAUCUUUUCCUUCAUUUUGUUGAUGUGAUUUAUCAUAUGGAUUGAUUUGCAACCAUUCUUGCAUCCUUGUGAUAAAUCACAAGGAUGUGAUAAAUCACGAGGAUGUGAUAAAUCACACAUGAUCAUGAAGAAUGAUAUUUUUAAUGUAUUGCUUAAAGGUUUGCUAGCAUUUUGUUGAGGAUUUUUGCAUCAAUAUUAAUUGGAGAUAUUAUAGUUUUCUUUUUUUAAAGUGUCUUUGAUUUUGGUAUAAAGGUAAUUCUGGUGUUAUAGAAUGAGUUUGGAAGUAUUCCCCAUCUCUAUUUUGUGGAAUAGUUUCAGUAGGAUUGGUGUUAGUUCUUUAAAUGUUUGUUAGAAUUCAGUAGUGAAGCCAUAGAAUAUUGGGCUUUUCUUUACUGGGAGACUUUUUAUUACAGCUAUGAUCUCAUUAUUUGUUAUUGGUCUGUUCAUGUUUUGUAUUUCUUUGUGUUUCAAUUUUGGUGUGUUUCUUGGCCCUAGUCUGGCCCACUCAGACCUGCUCCAUGCUCACCAUCAGGUAGCUGGUGGUCCUUGAAGAGUGAGUGCAGCAGGGACCAGAGGUUGGGCUGAAGCCCCUUUGCCUCAUGCGGACUGUCCAAUACUCAUUGAACUUCAUGGUGAGGGACAGAGGACCCACCCUGGCUCUCAGUGGGAGAGCAGGGAGUCCUUGUUCAAGGAAGCCCCUGGGACAGCCGCAGGAGGCAGCCCUUGGGAAAAAGUGCCCAAAGGCCCCCCUUGACCAGCCAUCCUGCCUCCUCCGCAGGACCUUCUCUUCCCCUCUUUCCCUCCCUUCUGAGGUGAAAAGGAGAGGAGGAGGCCAUGGAGCCCACUGUGUCAGGGAAACCUGGCCCUUCCUUUUGAGCAUCCAGGAGACUCGCAUGGGUCUCGCCCCUUCUCCAGGACCUGGAAGCUUCUCUCCCUGAAGAGCCCUGAGUUCCAGUCUCAAGUGUCUCUUCCCUAUUGCUUCCUGCUUCUCCUUUUGUCCCCACCACCGCCACCUGGGGCUCACACUCCCUGCCUUUGGGUUUCAAAUGCUGUACUAUGUGCUUGACCCACUAGCCUGCUUAAUCUUCAAAAUCACUCUAUCAAAAAGACAUUUAAGGCUGGGCAUUGUGGCUGAUGCCUGCAAUCCCAGCACUUUGGGAGACCCAGAUGGGCUGAUUACUUGAGUGUAUGAGUUACAGACUAGCCUGGGCAACAUAACAAGAUCCUGUCUCUACAAAAAUAGAAAAAAAUUAGUGGAGUGCUGUGGCACAUGUCUGUAAUCCCAACUACUUGGGAGGCUGAGGUGGGAAGAUUGCUUGAGCCUAGGAUGUCGAGGCUGCAGUGAGCUGAGAUCGCGUCACUGCACUCCAGCCUGGGCAACAAGCUGAGACCCUGUCUCAAAAUAAAAAUAAUUUAAAAAGUGAAAUUGCCGAAAUCAUUCAUUUAACCAAUAAGAUGAGCACCUACCUACCAGGGACAAUAAAAGUUUAAAGGUGCCAACAAUUAUGAAGGCAGUAUUGAAUUCACUUGAAAUAUGAAGAACACCACAUUGGGUGAAUUUAGGUAGCAAGGCCAAGGAGACAUUCCUAGGAAUGUUAUUAUAUGUGGGAAAACACUGAAAAAAGACACUGCAAUGUUUGAGAAAAUAAUGGCCAUAGAAAGAGAUUUCAUGGACCUCCCAGCUUAUGAAAAAAUCAACUGAAAUUGCUUAACAUUAGAACAUUAAAAAGGAAAAAUAAGCCAUUAUAUAAGGAGAGAAUUGGAAUAGGGGACAGGAAUGACCCAUUUCCCGGUCUCUGCCUAGAACAGGGCUGGGGAAAUAUCUGCGGUCAUCACAUUCACCAUUGCAUAAACACAUAUUCUUUCAAUAUCUCAGCAAGGAGCAAGUGCUACCAAGACAAGGCAAGGAAAAGGAAUAGAGAAUAUUGCUGGGUGCUUUUCUGUAGGGUGAUCAGGAAAGGCCUCACUGAAAAAGAGACAUUAGAGCAAAGCAAGUGAGAGAGAGAGAGUCAUAGAAAGAUCUGUGGGAAGAGCAUUCCACGUGAGGGCAACAGAUACUGCAAAGGCCCCGAGGCAGGGAGUGCUUGGCAUGUUUGAGGAUCCAGAAAAAGGCCAGUGGGGCUGGAAUGGAGUGAGUGAGGAGUAAUAGGGGCAGAACACAUACGGCCUUAGAGAUCAUGGCUCUAGGUGUUUUGUUUUAUUUUCCAAUUUUUAAAAUCGUGUUAAAAUACACAUAACAUAAAUUAUAGUAGUUUAACCUUGCUUGAGUGAAGAGUUCAGUAAUAUUAACAUUCAUAUGGUUGUGCAACCAUUACCACCAUCCAUCUCCAGAAUUCUUUUCAACUUGUAAAACUGAAACCCUCUAUCAUUAAACAAUAGCUCUCUGUUUUCCCUUCCACCCAGCACCAGGCAAGCACCAUUCUACUUUCUCUCUCUAUGCAUUUGACUAUUCUUGGGACCUUAUAAAAGCAGAAUCUAUGGUAUUUGUCUUUUCUGACUUAUUUCACUUACUCUAAUAUCUUCAGGGUUAUUUUAAUAUCAUUUGUCAGAAUUACCUUCCUUUUGAGAAAUGAAGAGUAUUCCAUUAUGUGUAUAGACCACAUAUUAUUUAUCCAUUCAUCUGUCAUGGACAUUAGAGUUGUCGCCACAUUUAAGCUAUUAGUGAAUAAUUCUGCUAUGACCAUAGAUGUACAAAUAUUUCUUUGACUCUGCUUUGAAUUUCUUUGUGUAGACACCCAGAAGGGAAGUGCUGGAUCAUGUGAGCCUCCACUCCACUGUCUGCAGUCAUCCUUGAGCCUCCACUCCGCUGUCCCCAGAGCUGUCAUUGAUGUUCCACCUUACUAUCUUGGAGCUGGUCUGAGUCUGCACCCUGCUGUUCUUGGAGCCUAGAAAGCCCACCAGGGCUGGCCAAACUCCACCCCUCCGUUGGUCUCUCCUCCCAGGCAUCAGCACUUUGGAAAAGCCAUUAUGUACCUUUUAAUAUCUACGAAAGGUGCCUCAGGAAGGCAUGGAGAGGUCACCACCUCCAGGUUAUGGUGUCUCACCUGUGUCCACUGGCCCCAUGCUGGCCCUUUAAGGGGUAAGAGCAGAACAGGCUGGGAGACUACACCUCUUUUCUCAGAGUGGCCAUAGAUAAAGCCAGAAAGCGGACAGGAGAAUGUGGUGCUGAGGGCAGAGGCCCCUCCCCACAGGUGCUGAGCAGAUCGGGCGAGGAGGAGCUUCCAGCCUCCAUCCAGGCAGGACUUCUGACCACUGCUAGAGGCCCCUUCUCAGGAGGUCCUGUCCCAGCCAAGGGCCAGCUCCAGAGACUUUUGUCCAUUUUCCCCAAGAUGGACAUGAUGCAGGUGGCUGCGUCUGGGCCCUAGAACUUUUGGGACUGAGCUGUGGUGAAGACAGGAGGGGACUGUGGGCCCUGGAUGUCCCUGUGCAGCCUAUGCCUCUAGCUUGGACCAUUCACCGCCCAGGUGCCUCCUCACCAGGUCUCCAAGCCCCACUGGUCAUGUGAAAGGCCACGGGGCAGGGCUGGGAUGGGUUCAGGGCUCCAUAUGCUUCCUGAGAGGGCUGAAGGGUUGCAUCCCCCCAGAGCAGCCCAAGGCAUAGUAGCCACUGCCACCCCACUCAGUCUCGGUGAGCAGGCUUGUCGGGGAUGUAGGGGCCUGGUCCUCCAGUGUCAGGUAGGCAGGCAGCAGUGCCUCUCACUCCUCACACUCUGCUGGCAGCAUAUCCUCCAAACUUGGGGCCCCUAGGAGGUGUCCCCAUGCCCUCCUGCUCUCCUCCAGGCUCACAGAUUUCCAGGGACAUGCUGAGUCACAGGCGAGUACUGCAGUGGCCUCUCGCACAGUGAAUUCCAAGGCUCCUUGCGAGGUGCUGGCACAGUCGUGACUCGGCUGCACACUGGCCCUGUGGGCCCCCAUCCAGGUCUGGAGCAGAGUAUGGGAUGAGGAAAGGGCUCAGGCAGCAUGAUCAGAACUCACCCUGGGAGUGGCAGCCUCCUCCUCAGCAGGCCCUCCCUCCUCCUCCAAGAAGCCCUCCUGAUGUCCACACCCAGAGGCCAAGCAGCACCUGUGCCAGGAGCAUUCUGUCUUCCUAUGUGCCAGCUCAGCCUCAACAUGGGACCCUGAGUCUCUUCAGUCCCCUCACUGCUCCCCUAGCACAGAGCCUGGUGCUCACAGCAGCCUGCACCAGGGUACAAAUGGUGACAUGUGCUGAGGAAAAAACAAACACCUGGCAGCAUGCAGCAUGUGUCCCAGGGCCUUUCAGCAGCUACAGAGACUGCGUACCCCCACCUGAAUAAUUUUCUCUGUCUCUCUCUCUCUCACACACACAUAGCACGACGGACAGGUGACACGAAGACUGGUGACUUUCAAGGUGCUUGGGAAAGGCCAGCAGACCUGAAUCCUUCUGUGGGGACACAGGAGACCUCUGCUUCCAAAAGGAAGCUCUUCCCUAGGUGGGACCGGAAGUAUCUACCCAACAUGCCACACACACACCACACCCUCCAUCACUGCAUCACUGCUCCCUGCCAGACCCUCACCCAAGGCCUAAAUAAUCCCUGGCAGAUGCCCUGGUUCUAUAGAGAAGGGCUGGUGCCUGCAAGGGGAUGACACAGGCCAGGGUACGAUCACAACCUCUGCCCUGCUCAGACUUGUCCUCAGCUGCCCAGGCUCUUGACAGUCACAUCUGCCACUGUGAAGAAAGACGGGAACUCUGCCAAGACCCAAGUGCUCAGUUUUAAGCUUUAAAUUAUAUUUUUGAACAACAAUCCUAAGAACUGGGCUUCCUGUUAAAAGGGAAAACGAUUUUUUCUGCAUAAUAUGCUGGCAAUACUGUGUGGAGGGGAUGUCUCUGCCACACAGGGUCCAGGGAAACCCUGCAGCACCAGGAAAGGAGAUCCUGGUGUCACCCUACAAGGAAGAAGCUGAGACAAAGUUAAUCUUAGUAGAGAGUUUAUUUGAGACAGACUUCAGGAUUGCAACUCUGGAGCACAGAUUCAAGUUAUCCUGAAUAUACAUUCCAAUUAGCAGCAGUUAUGAGCUGAUUUUUAAAGGCAAAACAAGGAGGACAGGGAAGGGGCGGAUACAAUUCCUCAGGAAUUUUAGUUGGUUCAUAGCAAUAACACUGCUUAGUGAUGGGCUGUACACUGUUAAGCUAUAGGGUGUGGGGUAUGGCGUCUGGUGUGGCAUUAUGAGGUAAAUUCAUAGCUACUUCUGGCAACAGCAGUAUCAAGAAAUGAAUACACAGCUCAAUGUGAGGGAGUAGGACAUGACUGUGGUCUCUCAUUUUAAUGCCUCUUUCUGGGCCUGAUAAUUAAAAGCACUUGCAUUUCUCAGAUAAAAGUUAUUUUAUUUUCCUGACUGGUAAAGACCCAGGUCAGCUUGGUCCAGACCCCAGGGAGAGGCCCUCAUGCCCUGUGUCCUUUGCCCAAAGUGAGAAGCCUGAGGGAGCACAGUGGAGCCCACCCCCUGGAGCUCUCCCUCUGCUCUUCCUCCUACCCACGGGGCAUGAACUGCCAGCUCAGCAGGGAGGGGAGGGUCCUAUGUGACCCCCAAGUAGUUCGCUGAUACAUGGGCUGUGGGAGCCAGACAAGGCCCACAGAGGGGGAAAUGCAGAGCCCAUUCCUGACUCUGGUGCCAAUGUGUGACCCCAGGGGAAUCGAAGGGGUGGGCAGACCAGGAGCCCAGGGUCAGUGAGGGUCCCAAGGGCAGCACAAGUGCUAGAGACUCUCCCCCACAGCCACCGGACAGACAUUCACAGAAGGAGGAGGUGAGACCCAUGGUGGGCACAGAUAGCUGCAAACCAGAGGAAACAGAGAUAAGUUAUGAGAAACUUAUAUAUUUUUUCCAUCAACCAUGGAAUGGAAGACACAAGAAAAAUAAAUCAUCAAUGGAAAAUGAAGUGAUUUUUUUUGUCCACUUGAGACACAGAGGAUAAAUUUAAAUUCACUUUAUACACACACAAAAAAGGCUCAAAACACUGGUAAGUCCCCUGCAGUGGCCCCCAACUGUCAUCAAAGCCAACAUCCUGGGCAGGCUAGACCUUGGGGCAACACCUGCCCUCCAUGCCCUGUGGCAGUCUCUACACUCUCCUGAAGUUCCCAUUGUGCGCACUGUAGGGGGCUGGAAGAAUGUUGCUGGAGAGGACAUAUUCUGGAAGAGGGUUCUUUCCACCCUGAGGCCAGGAGAAGACAGUCAGAGGCCCACGGGGACCCAGGUAGGGGCUCCUGCUGAGGCCCCAGUUGGCAUGAGGUCACUGCAGGGGCUGAGCUCCCUUCCAACCAGGAAGAGCUCAUCUGCCUCAUUCCUGCCACUGCCUCUCUCCCCUCUCACCCCAUCCAAACCUACUCUCAGGGCAGGAUCCAACUGGGUACCCUGUGGCCUCCUUGGCUAACUGAUUUAUACUAAGGUAUGUGUCCUUUACAGUGUGAGCUGAGAUGGUGAGUUUAGAAUUGACUCGCCAUGACUGCAGCCUGCAGAAGGAGCCAGCACCUCCAGGAACCCCAUUCUUGCCAUCAGCAGAGGGUCUAUGGCUCCCACCUCAUCCAGUGUCUCCCUGAGCACCAUGUCUGCCUGACCAGGACCCAGUGGUCCUCCCAGGAGGAUGUUGCCUAGGGCUCCAACCCAAUAGGUCCAAAUACACCUCACCAACCUCCCCUCAGGGCUGUCCCCCCAUUCCCCACCUCAGGGUCGGGUCACUACGCAUAUCUCAUCCACCCACAUGUCUCCUCAGUCUCAAGACUCUGCAAUUUCCUCCAUGUGGCUCCAUCUCCACUUUUCUCACGAGCUCAAGCCAAAUCUUAUCUCUAUGGACAUCCCACUGGCCCUCAUCAGGUCCCCCAUGUCUACUUGUUCCCACAAUCCAUUCUCAAACAUAAAGCAUAACAUGUCACAGUUUCACACUCUUCAGCACUUUCCUUUGCUCUAAGGAGAAGCCAGGCACCCACUCACCUGGCCCCACCCAGCACCCCCAUCCCCACACACUCUUCCUUGCAUUCUCCCUGCUACCUGAUGGGGCCCCUGUGCCCCUCUUGUAAGCUCACAUGCAGUGCACAUUGGGGAUGGCUUCCUGAAGAGGACCCUUGUCUGUCCUGUUCUCUAAGACAUCUGCAGGGGCAAGAACAGAUCCUGUGCAUUUCAGAUGCCUCCAACUGUGCUUUCACACAAUGUGUGAACAAAGAAGCAAACCAAGCUCCUCGACAGGCAGGAGACAAGGACCUCCGGCUUCUUGGUCCCCGUGACACCGGGUCUGGUUGAGGCCAAGCCGCCCUCAUCUUUGACCUCUUCUCUCCUUCCCUUCUCUCCCCCGGCAACAUGAGAAACUCCAAAUGGCCCAGGGAAGGAACUUUUAAAGCCCACCCCAACCAGGAUAAGACAGUGGGGCAUAAAUGGGAGGAGAGGGGUUGGCUCUCGGUGCCACACUCAACGAACACUCACACAUGCACACACUGAUGCGUGCACACAUGUGACGUAAGUACACACCUGCACACAGUGAAACCCCAAUACAUUAACACACAUACACAACACAAGCAGGCCCAAACCCUCACUCUGAAACCUAACCCCAGCCCCAAACUGCAACCUGGAACUCAAGUCCUAGCCUGAACCUUGACCCCAAACCCCACCUCAAGUCAGAAGGUAAACCAUGGGCCGAAUCCCGAACUGGAACUCAAACCCCAGCAGGAACCUGAACUCUUCCAUUGUUUUUCCUCAUCUGGCACAUGGGACUCAGCACCUGAGACUCUGCUGUGGCCCUCUGAAUGAGCUGCGCCCCUCGUCCUUGUCCUCCCCACCAGCUGCACUCCCUGUCCCCCCUCUCCCAAGGAGCCACCCAGCCCAUGUCCCCGGCCCCGGUGGUCCCGAUGAGAUGCACCCAGGCUGACCCAGGGUGCAAAUCCCCAACCCAAUCCCCAACGCAAACCCUGAACCAGAGGCCUCGUCUAAACUUUAAUUCCAAACUCCACCUCAAAUUGGAACCGGAACCACAGGUGGAAGCCUGAACCGGAACUCAAAGCCCAGCUGGAACCUGAACCCCGCCCUCGCCCGUGAGCGCCUGCGCCCGGGUCCCGCCCUCCCACGAGCUUCACCUCUGACCCCGACCUCCCCUGGAACUGCGCUUUCUACCCCGCAGUCCCAGGGAGCCGCAAGCCGUCCCUCUCACCCCAUCUCCAGCAACGCCCUCUCCCCCUGUCUCCCCCACCUUCACUGUGGGCUGCGGCCCCCAUUUCCCUGCCGUACCCCUCACCCUCCCGGGAGCUGUGCCCACCUGACCCGGCAUUUGCGCCUUUGUCUUCGUGGCCCGGAAGUGGCCCCGCCGGCGGAAGCAUGAGAAAUGGCCACGUGCUGUACAGCGGCUGGCUGAGGAAGUCGCCCCCCGAGGAGAAGCUGAGGCUCUUUGUGAGUGCCGGCAGUGGGGGCGGGACCAGGAGUGCCACGGAGGGUCUGGGGGCUCCGGGACGGGCGUGGGGGAGGCGGCCUGGGUCCACGGGAGGAGCUGCGGGUGGAGGCGACUUCUCCACGUCUGCAUGCGAAGGUGACUCCCCGCCAGCGAGAGACAGGGUCCAGGUUUGUGUGGGUUGCGUUCCGAGACCCAGGGAGUUGAUUCCGGGGCUGGGGACCCUAUUACCCUGAGCGCCGUGGGCCUGCAGUUCGGAGAGUGGGCGGGAAAGGGGACACAGCAGGCUCCGCAGCCUCGCAAAGGGCAGGAACCUCGCACCCGCUCCCCUUCCCUCCCAGGCCCCGAGAAUUGCAGGCACCUCGCACCCUCUCUCAUUCCCUCCCAGGCCCCAAGGAAGGCAGGCGCCUUAAACCUGCUCACCUUCCCUCCCAAGCCCCAAGAAGGCAGGCACCUCACACCCUCUCCCCUUCCCUCCCGGGCCCCAAGAAAACGCGGGCACCUUGCACCCGCUCCCCUUCCCUCCUCGCCCGCCACUCCUGGGGUCGUUCGCGUCCUUCCAUGCCACCACGCCUGCGGAGGGACAGUGUGCACUGCAGUGUAGUUUUCUAUAUAUUAAUUCAUGUGGCUAAACGAUUUAGAAAAAAAGAAGAUUGGUUGCCCUUCCUCCUAGUGGCUAAUUUGAAGAGUGUUGUUCUAAAUUUCAACAAUUUUACUGAGGAAACAGUAAUUGUUAGGAGUCAGAAUGAUUAUACCAAGGUACAUAGAAGAGGCUUUUCUCUCCUGUUCCUUAGCCCCAGGUCCAGCCCUUCAAGAAUCUAUUCCAGAAUAAGCUGAUCCUAUAGUCAUCUUCCCUUUCCUCUGCUUCCCUGAGGUAUGCGGUAUGAUCAAUUCUGCGUUCUUGUCUUUCUCCAUUUGUUUUUUCAAUUUUUUAUUAUACUUUAAGUUCUGGGAUACAUGUGCAGAACGUGGAGGUUUGUUACAUACAUAUACACAUGUCAUGGUGGUUUGCUGCACCCAUCAACCCAUCAUCUACAUUAGGUAUUUCUCCUAAUGCUAUCCCUCCCCUUGCCCCCCAACCCCAAUAGGCCACAUUGUGUGAUGUUCGUCUCCCUGUGCCCAUAUGUUCUCAUUGUUCAGCUGCCACUUAUGAGUGAGAACAUGCGGUGUUUGGUUUUCUGUUCCAGUGUAAGUUUGCUCAUGUCCCUGCAAAGGACAUGAGCUCAUUCUUUUUUAUGGCUGCGUAGUAUUCCAUACUGUAUAUGUGCCACAUUUUCUUUAUCCAGUCUAUUAUUGAUGGACAUUUGGGUUGGUUCCAAGUCUUUGCUGUUGUGAAUAGUGCUGCAAUAAACAUAUGGGUGCACUUGUCUUUAUAGUAGAAUGAUUUAUAAUCCUUUGGGUAUAUACCCAGUAAUGGGAUUGCUGGGUCAAAUGGUAUUUCUAGUUCUAGAUCCUUGAGGAGUUGCCACACUGUCUUUCACAAUGGUUGAACUAAUUUACACUCCAACCAACAGUGUAAAAGCAUUCCUAUUUCUCCACAUCCUCUCCAGCAUCUGUUGUUUCGUGACUUUUUAAUGAUGGCCAUUCUAACUGGCAUGAGAUGGUAUCUCGUUGCAUUUCUUUAGUGACCAGUGAUGAUGAGCAUUUUUUCAUGUUUUUUGGCCACAUAUCUUCUUCUGAUAAGUGUCUGUUCAUAUCCUUUGCCCACUUUUUGAUAGUGUUGUUGUUUUUUUCUUGUAAAUUUGUUUAAAUUCCUUAUAGAUUCUGGAUGUUAGCCCUUUGUCAGAUGGAUAGAUUGGAAAAAAUUUCUCCCAUUCGAUAGGUUGCCUGUUCACUCUGAUGAUAGUUUCUUUUGCUGUGCAGAAGCUCUUUAGUUUAAUUAGAUCCCAUUUGUCAAUUUUGGCUUUUGUUACCAUUGCUUUUGGUGUUUUAGUUAUGAAGUCUUUGCCCAUGCCUAUGUCCUGAAUGAUAUUGCCUAGGUUUUCUUCUAAGGUUUCUAUGGUUUUAGGUCUUAUGUUUGUCUUUAAUCCAUUUUGACCCCGACCUCCUUCAGAACUGAGUUAAUUUUUGUAUAAGAUGUAAGGAAAGGGUCUACUUUCAGUUUUCUGCACAUGGCUAGCCAGUUUUCCCAACAUCAUUUAUUAAAUAGGGAAUCCUUUCCCCAUUGCUAGUUUUUGUCAGGUUUGUCAAAGAUCAGAUGGUUGUAGAUGUAUGGUGUUAUUUCUGAGGCCUCUGUUCUGUUCCAUUGGUCUAUAUAUCCGUCUUGGUACCAGUACCGUGUUGUUUUGGUUACUGUAACCUUGUUGUACAGUUUGAAGUUGGGUAGCGUGAUGCCUCCAGCUUUGUUAUUUUUGCUUAGGAUUGUCUUGGCAAUGCAGGCUCUUUUUUUGGUUCCAUAUGAAAUUUAAAGUGGAUUUUUCUAAUUCUGUGAAGAAAGUCAAUGGUAGCUUGAUUGGAAUAGCAUUGAAUCUGUAAAUUACUUUGGGCAGUAUGGCCGUUUUCACAAUGUUGAUUCUUCCUAUCCAUGAGCAUGGAAUGUUUUUCCAUUUGUUUGUGUCCUCUCUUAUUUCCUUGAGCAGUGGUUUGUAGUUCUCCUUGAAGAAGUCCUUCACAUCUCUUGUAGGUUGUAUUCCUAGGUAUUUUAUUCUCUUGGUAGCAAUUGUGAAUGGGAGUUCACUCAUGAUUUUGCUCUCUAUUUGUCUGUUAUUGGUGUAUAGGAAUGCUUGUGAUUUUUGCACAUGGAUUUUGUAUCCUGAGACUUUACUGAAGUUGCUUAUCAGCUUAAGGAGUUUUUGGGCUGAGACGAUGGGGUUUUCUAAAUAUAGAAUCAUGUCAUCUGCAAACAGAGACAAUUUAACUUCCUCUUUUCCUGUUUGAAUACCUUUUAUUUCUUUCUCUUGCCUGAUUAUCCUGGCCAGAACUUCCAAUACUAUGUUGAAUAGGAGUGGUGAGAGAGGGCAUCCUUGUCUUGUGCCAGUUUUCAAAGGGAAUCCUUCUAGCUUUUGCCCAUUCAGUAUGAUAUUAGCUGUGGGUUUGUCAUAAAUAACUUACUAUUUUGAGAUAUGUUCCAUCAAUACUUAGUUAAUUGAGAGUUUUUAGCACGAAGGGGUGUUGAAUUUUAUCGAAGGCCUGUUCUGCAUCUAUUGAGAUAAUCAUGUGGUUUUUGUCAUUGGUUCUUUUUAUGUGACAGAUUGCGUUUAUUGAUUGUUUGUCAUAAAUAACUUAUUAUUUUGAGAUACGUUCCAUCAAUACUUAGUUUAUUGAGAGUUUUUAGCAUGAACGGGGUGUUGAAUUUUAUCGAAGGCCUUUUCUGCAUCUAUUGAGAUAAUCAUGUGGUUUUUGUCAUUGGUUCUUUUUGUGUGAUGGAUUACAGUUAUUGAUUUGCAUAUGUUGAACCAGCCUUGCAUCCCAGGAAUGAAGUUCACUUGAUCUUGAUCUAUAAGCUUUUUGAUGUGCCUGGGUUUGGAUUGCCAGUGUUUUAUUGAGGGUUUUUGCAUUGAUGUUCAUUAGGGAUAUUGGCCUGAAAUUUUCUUUUUUUGUUGUGUCUCUGCUAGGGUUUUGUAUCAGGAUGAUGCUGGCCUCAUAAAAUGAGUUAGGGAGGAGUCCCUCUUUUUGCAUUGUUUGGAAUAGUUUCAGAAGGAAUGGUACCAGCUCGUUUUUGUACCUCUGGUAGAAAUCGGCUGUGAAUUGGUCUGGUCCUGGGCUUUUUUUGUUGUUGUUGACAGGCUGUUAAUUACUGCCUCAAUUUCAGAAUUUAUUAUUGGUCUAUUCAGAGAUUUGACUUUCUCCUGGUUUAGUCUUGGGAGGGUGUAUGUGUCCAGGAAUUUAUUCAUUUCUUAUGAAUUUCCUAGUUUAUUUGCAUAGAGGUGUUUACAGUAUUCUCUGAUGGUAGUUUGUAUUUCUGUGGGAUCAGUGGUGAUACCUCUCUAUCAUUUUUUGUUGUGUCUAUUUGAUUCUUUUUUGUUGUGUGCAUUUGAUUCUUUAUUAGUCUGGCUAGUGGUCUAUCUAAUUUUUUAAAAAACAGCUCUUAAACUUACUGAUUUUUUGAAGGGUUUUUUUGUGUCACUAUCUCCUUUAGCUCUGCUCUGAUCUUAGUUUGUUUUCUGCUAGCUUUUGAAUUUGUUUGCUCUUGCUUCUCUAGUUCUUUUAAUUUUGAUGUUAGGGUGUCGAUUUUAGAUCUUUCCUGCUUUCUCUUGUGGGCAUUUAGUGCUAUACAUUUCCGUCUAAACACUGCUUUAGCUGUGUCCCAGAGAUUGUGGUACAUUGUGUCUUUGUUUUCAUUGGUUUUAAAAAAAAUCUUUAUUUCUGCCUUGACUUUAUUAUUUACCCAGUAAUCAUUCAGGAGCAGGUUUUUCAGUAUCCAUGUAGUUGUGCAUUUUUGAGUGAGUUUCUUAAUCCUGAGUUCUAAUUUGAUUGCACUGGGGUCUAAGAGACUGUUACGAUUUCCAUUCAUUUACAUUUGCUGAGGAGUGUUUUACUUCCAAUUAUGCAGUCAAUUUUAGAAUAAGUGAGUGCUAUGUGGUGCUUAGAAGAAUGUAUAUUCUGUUGAUUUGGGGUGGGGAGCUCCGUAGAUGUCUAUUAGGUCCACUUGGUCCAGAGCUGAGUUUAAGUUCUGAAUAUACUUGUUUCAUUUCUGUCUUGUUGAUCUGCCUAAUAUUGACAGUGGGGUGUUAAAGUCUCCCACUAUUACUGUGUGGGAGUCCAAGUCUCUUUCUAGGUUUCUAAGAACUUGCUUUAUGAAUCUGGGUGCCCCUGUCUUGGGUGCAUAUAUGUUUAGGGUAGUUAGCUCUUCUUGUUGCAUUGAUCCCUUUACCAUUAUUUAAUGCCCUUCUUUUCUUUUUUGAUGUUUGUUGGUUUAAAGUGUGUUUUAUCAGAGACUAGGAUUGCAAACCCUGCUUUCUUUGGUUUCCGUUUGCUUGGUAAAUAUUCUUCCAUCCCUUUAUUUUGAGCCUAUGUGUGUCUUUGCACAUCAGAUGAGUCUCCUGAAUACAGCAUACUGAUGCAUCUUGACUCUAUCCAAUUUGCCAGUCUGUGUCUUUUAAUUGGGGCAUUUAGCCCAUUUACAUUUAAGGUUAAUUUUUUUUUUAAUUAUACUUUAAGUUUUAGGGUACAUGUGCACAACAUGCAGGUCUGUUACAUAUGUAUACAUGUGCCAUGUUUGUGUGCUGCACCCAUUAACUUGUCAUUUAACAUUAGGUAUAUCUCCUAAUGCUAUCCCUCCCCUUUCCCCCGCCAAAAACAGGCCCUGGUGUGUGAUGUUCCCCUUCCUGUGACCAUGUGUUCUCAUUGUUCAAUUCCCACCUAUGAGUGAAGACAUAAGGUUAAUAUAGUUAUGUGUGAAUUUGAUUCUGUCAUUAUGAUGCUAGCUGGUUAUUUUGCCUGUUGGUGCAGUAUCUUCAUCAUGUCGGUGGUCUUUACAUUUUGGUAUGUUUUUGCAGUUGCUGGUACCAGUUUUUCCUUUGCAUAUUUAGUGCUUCUUCAGGAGCUCUUGUAAGGCAGGCCUGGUGGUGACAGAAUCCCUUAGCAUUUGCUGGUCUGUAAAGGAUUUUAUUUCUCCUUCGCUUAUGAACCUUUGUUUGGCUGGAUAUGAAAUUCUGGGUUGAAAAUUCUUUUCUUUAAGAAUGUUGAAAACGGAGGUUCCAAGAUGGCCAAAUAGGAGCAGCUCCAGUCUGCAGCUCCCAGCAUGAGCGAUGCAGAAGAUGGGUGAUUUCUGCAUUUCCAACUGAGGCACCGGGUUCAUCUCACAGGGGCUUGUCAGAUAGUGGGUGCAGCCCAUGGAGCAGGGUAGGGCAUUGCCUCACCCGGGAAGCACAAGGAAUCAGGAAUUCCCUUUUCUGGCAAAGGGAAGCCGUGACAGAUGGUACCUGGAAAAUCAGGACACUCCCACCCUAAUACUGCACUUUUCCAAUGGCCUUAGCAAACGACACACCAGGAGAUUAUAUCCCGCGCCUGGCUUGGAGGGUCCCAUGCCUACAGAGCCUUGCUCACUGCUAGCACAGCAGUCUGAGAUCAAACUGCGAGGCAGCAGCCAGGCUGGGGGAGGGGUGCCCGCCAUUGCUGAGGCUUGAAUAGGUAAACAAAGAGGCCUGGAAGCUCGAACUGGGUGGAACCCACCUCAAUUCAAGGAGGCCUGCCUGCCUCUGUAGACUCCACCUCUAGGGGCAGGGAAAAGCUGAAAAUUCUGAAAAUCAGAGCGCCUCUUCUCCUCCAAAGGAAAGCAGCUCCUCUACAGCAGUGGAGCAAAGCUGGAUGGAGAAUGACUUUGACGAGUUGACAGAAGAAGGCUUCAGACAAUCGGUAAUAACGAACUUCUCCGAGCUAAAGGAGGAUAUUUGAACCCAUCGCAAAAAAGCUGAAAACCUUGAAAAAAGAUUAGGCAAAUGGCUAACUAGAAUAAACAGUAUAGAGAAGUCCUUAAAUGACCUGAUGGAGCUGAAAAUCAUGGCACGAGAACUACAUGACACAUGCACAAGCUUCAGUAGCCUAUUUGAUGAAGUGGAAGAAAGGGUAUCAGUGAUUGAAGAUCAAAUGAAUGAAAUGAAGCGAGAAGAGAAGUUUAGAGAAAAAAGAGUAAAAAGAAAUGAACAAAGCAUCCAAGAAAUAUGGAACUAUGUGAAAAGACCAAAUCUAUGUCUGAUUGGUGUACCUGAAAGUGACGGGGAGAAUGGAACCAAGUUGGAAAACACUCUGCAGGAUAUUAUCCAGGAGAACUUCCCCAACCUAGCAAGGCAGGCCAAAAUUCAAAUUCAGGAAAUACAGAGAAUGCCGCAAAGAUAAUCUUCGAGAAGAGCAACUCCAAGACACAUAAUUGUCAGAUUCACCAAAGUUGAAAUGAAGGAAAAAAUGUUGAGGUCAGCCAGAGAGAAAGGUUGGGUUACCCACAAAGGGAAGCCCAUCAGACUAACAGCUGAUCUCUCGGCAGAAACUCUACAAGCCAGAAGAGAGUGGGGGCCAAUGUUCAACAUUCUUAAAGAAAAGAAUUUUCAACCCAGAGUUUCAUAUGCAGCCAAACUAAGCUUCAUAAGUGAAGGAGAAGUAAAAUCUUUUACAGACAAACAGAUGCUGAGCGAUUUUGUCACCACCAGGCCUGCCUUACAAGAGCUCCUGAAGGAAGCACUAAACAUGGAAAGGACAGCUGCAGGGCCACUGCAAAAACAUCCCCAAUUGUAAAGACCAUUGAUGCUAGGAAGAUGCUGCAUCAACUACCGAGCAAAAUAACCAGCUAACAUCAUAAUGACAGGAUCAAAUUCACAUAUAACAAUAUUAACCUGAAAUGUAAAUGGACUAAAUGCUCCAAUUAAAAGACACAGACUGGCAAAUUGGAUAAAGAGUCAAGACCCAUCAGUGUGUUGUUUUCAGGAGACACAUCUCACGUGCAGAGACACACAUAGGCUCAAAAUAAAGGGAUGGAGGAAGAUCUAUGAAACAAAUAGAAAACAAAAAAAAGCAGAGGCUGCGUUCCUAGUCUCUGAUAAGACAGACUUUAAACCAACAAAGAUCAAAAGAGACAAGGCCAUUACAUAAUGGUAAAGGGAUCAAUUCAACAAGAAGAGCUAACUAUCCUAAAUAUAUAUGCACCCAAUACAGGAGCACCCAGAUUCAUAAAGCCAAUACUUAGAGACCUAGAAAGAGACUUAGACUCCCACAUAAUAAUAAUGGGAAACUUUAACACCCCAUUGUCAACACAGAUCAACGAGACAGAAAGUUAACAAAGAUAUCCAGGAAUUGAACUCAGCUCUACACCAAGCGGACCUAAUAGACAUCUACAGAACUCUCCACCCCAAAUCAACAGAAUAUACAUUGUUCUCAGCACCACAUCACACUUAUUCCAAAAUUGACCACACAGUUAGAAGUAAAGCACUCCUCAGCAAAUGUAGAAGAACAGAAAUGAUAACAAACCAUGUCUCAGACCACAGUGCAAUCAAACUAGAACUCAGGGUUAAGAAACUCACUCAGACCUGCUCAACUACAUGGAAACUGAACAACCUGCUCCUGAAUGACUACUGGGUACAUAACGAAAAGAAGGCAGAAAUAAAGAUGUUCUUUGAAACCAAUGAGAACAAAGACACAACACACCAGAAUCUCUGGAACACAUUUAAAGCAGUGUGUAGAGGGAAAUUUAUAGCCCUAAAUGUCUACAAGAGAAAGCUCUAAAAGAGAAAGAUCUAAAAUUGACACCCUAACAUCACAACUAAAGGAACUAGAGAAGCAAGAGCAAACACAUUCAAAAGCUAGCAGAAGGCAAGAAAUAACUAAGAUCAGAGCAGAACUGAAGGAGAUAGAGACACAAAAAAUGCUUCAAAAAAUCAAUGAAUCCAGGAGCUGGUUUUUUGAAAGAUCAACAGAAUUGAUAGACCUCUAGCAAGACUAAUGAAGAAGAAAAGAGAGAAGAAUCAAAUAGAUGCAAUAAAAAAUGAUAAAGGGGAUAUCACCACCGAUCCCACAGAAAUACAGACUACCUCCAGAGAAUACUAUAAACACCUUUAUGCAAAUAAACUAGAAAAUCUAGAAGAAAUGGAUAAAUUCCUGGACACAUACACCCUCCCAAGACUAAACCAGGAAGAGGUUGAAUCUCUGAAUAGACCAAUAACAGGUUCUGAAAUUGAGGCAAUAGUUAAUAGCCUACCAACCAAAGAAAGUCCAGGACCAGAUGGAUUCACAGCCGAAUUCUACCAGAGGUACAAAGAGGAGCUGGUACCAUUCCUUCUGAAACUAUUCCAAUCAAUAGAAAAAGAGGGAAUCCUUCCUAAUUCGUUUUAUGAAGCCAACAUCAUCAUGUUACCAAAGCCUGACAGAGACACAACAAAAAAAGAGAAUUUUAGACCAAUAUCCCUGAUGAACAUCGAUGCAAAAAUCCUCAAUAAAAUACUGGCAAACCGAACCCAGCAGCACAUCAAAAUGCUUAUCCACCAAGAUCAAGUUGGCUUCAUCCCUGGGAUGCAAGGCUGAUUCAACAUAUGCAAAUCAAUAAACGUAAUCCAUCAUGUAAACAGAACCAAAGACAAAAACCACGUGAUUAUCUCAAUAGAUGCAGAAAAGGCCUUUGACAAAAUUCAACAGCCCUUCUUGCUAAAAACUCUCAAUGAACUAGGUAUUGAUGGGACGUAUCUCAAAUUAAUAAGAGCUAUUUAUGACAAACCGACAGCCAAUAUCAUACUGAAUGAGCAAAAACUGGAAGCAUUCCCUUUGAAAACUGGCACAAGACAGGGAUGCCCUCUUUCACCACUCCUAUUCAGCAUAGGUUGAAUAGUGUUGGAAGUUCUGGCCAGCACAAUCAGGCAAGAGAAAGAAAUAAAUGGUAUUCAGUUAGGAAAAGAGGAAGUCAAAUUUUCCCUGUUUGCAGAUGACAUGACUGUAUAUUUAGAAAACCCCAUCGUCUCAGCCCCAAAUCUCCUUAAGCUGAUAAGCAACUUCAGCCAAGUCUCAGGAUACAAAAUCAAUGUGCAAAAAUCACAAACAUUCCUAUCCACCAAUAACAGACAAACAGAGAGCCAAAUCAAGAGUGAACUCCCAUUCACAAUUGCUUCAAAGGGAAUAAAAUACCUAGGAAUCCAACUUACAAGGGAUGUGAAGGACCUCUUCCAGGAGAACUACAAACCACUGCUCAAUGAAAUAAAAGAGGACACAAACAAAUGGAAGAACGUUCCAUGCUCAUGGGUAGGAAGAAUCAAUAUCGUGAAAAUGGCCACACUGCCCAAGGUAAUUUAUAGAUUCAAUGCCAUCCCCAUCAAGCUACCGAUGACUUUCUUCACAGAAUUGGAAAAAACUACUUUAAAGUUCAUAUGGAACCAGAAAAGAGCCCACAUUGCCAAGACAGUCCUAAGUCAAAAGAACAAAGCUGGAGGCAUCACGCUACCUGACUUCAAACUAUACUACAAGGCUACAAUAACCAAAACAGCAUGGUACGGGUACCAAAACAGAGAUAUAGACCAAUGGAACAGAACAGAGCCCUCAGAAAUAAUACCACACAUCUACAACCAUCUGAUCUUUGACAAACCUGACAAAAACAAGAAAUGGGGAAAGGAUUCCGUAUUUAAUAAAUGGUGCUGGGAAAACUGGCUAGCCGUAUGUAGAAAGCUGAAACUAGAUCCCUUCCUUAUAUCUUAUACAAAAAGUUAAUUCAAGAUGGAUUAAAAACUUAAAUGUUAGACCUAAAACCAUAAAAACCCUAGAAGAAAACCUAGGUAAUACCAUUCAGGACAUAGGCAUGGGCAAGGGCAAGGACUUCAUGACUAAAACACCAAAAGUAAUGACAACAAAAGCCAAAAUUGACAAAUUGGAUCUAAUUGAACUAAAGAGCUUCUGCACAGCAAAAGAAACUACCAUCAGAGUGAACAGGCAACCUACAGAAUGGGAGAAAAUUUUUACAAUCUACCCAUCUGACAAAGGGCUAAUAUCCAGAAUCUACAAAGAACUUAAACAAAUUUACAAGAAAAAAUCAACCCCAUCAAAAAGUGGGCAAAGGAUAUGAACAGACACUUAUCAGAAGAAGACAUUUAUGCAGCCAACAGACACAUGAAAAAAUGCUCAUCAUCACUGGCCAUCAGAGAAAUGCAAAUCAAAACCACAAGGAGAUACCAUCUCAUACCCGUUAGAAUGGCAAUCUAAUGGGUUAAAAAGUCAGGAAACAACAGAUGCUGGAGAGGAUGUGGAGAAAUAGGAACACUUUUACACUGUUGGUGGGACUGUAAACUAGUUCAACCAUUGUGGAAGACAGUGUGGCAAUUCCUCAAGGAUCUAGAACUAGAAAUACCAUUUGACCCAGCCAUCCCAUUACUUGGCAUGUACCCAAAGGAUUGUAAAUCAUGCUGCUAUAAAGACACAUGCACACGUAUGUUUAUUGCGGCACUAUUCACAAUAGCAAAGACUUGGAACCAACCCAAAUGUCCAUCAAUGAUAGACUGGAUUAAGAAAAUGUGGCACAUAUACACCAUGGAAUACUAUGCAGCCAUAAAAAUGAUGAGUUCAUGUCCUUUGUAGGGCCAUGGAUGAAGCUGGAAUCCAUCAUUCUCAGCAAACUAUUGCAAGGAGAGAAAACCAAACACCGCAUGUUCUCACUCAUAGGUGGGAAUUGAACAAUGAGAACACUUGGACACAGGGUGGGGAACAUCACACACCGGGGCCUGUUGUGGGGUGGGUGGAGGGGGGAGGGAUAGCGUUAGGAGAUACACAUAAUGUAAAUGGUGAGUUAACGGAUGCAGCGCACACCAUGGCACAUGUUUACAUAUGUAACAAACCUGCACGUUUUGCGCAUGUACCAUAUAACUUAAAGUAUAAUAAUAAUAAAAAAAAGAAUGUUGAAUAUUGGCCCUCACUCUCUUCUGGCUUGUAGGGUUUCUGCAGAGAGAUCUGCUCUUAGUCUGAUGGGCUUCUCUUUGUGGGCAGCCCAACCUUUCUUUCUGGCGUCCCUUACCAUUUUUUUCCUUCAUUUCAACCUUUGUGAAUCUGACAAUUAUGUGUCUUGGGGUUGCUCUUCUUGAGGAGUAUCAUGGUGGUGUUCUUUGUAUUUCUUGAAUUUGAAUGUUGGCUUGUCUUGCUAGGUUGGGGAAGUUCUCCUGGAUAAUAUCCUUAAGAAUGUUUUUCCAAUUUGGUUCCAUUCUCCCUGUCAUUUUCACAUAUACCAAUCAAACAUAGAUUUGACCUUUCACAUAGUCCCAUAUUUCUUUGAGGCUUUGUUCAUUCCUUAAGUUUUUUUUCUCUAAUCUUGUCUUCAUGUUUUAUUUCAUUAAGUUAAUCUUCAAUCUCUGAUCCGCUUGAUCAAUUCGGCUAUUGAUACCUGUUUAUUUUUCACGAAGUUCUCAUACUGUCUCUUUCAGCUUCAUGAAGUUAUUUAUGUUCUUCUCUAAACUGGUUAUCCUAGUUAGCAGUUCCUGUAACCAUUUAUCAAGAUUCUUAGCUUCCUUGCAUUGGGUUAGAACAUGCUCCUUUAGCUCGGAGGAGUUUGUUUUUACCCACCUUCUGAAGCCUACUUCUGUCAGUUCGUCAAACUCAUUCUCCAUCCAAUUUUGUUCCCUUGCUGGCAAGGAGUUGUGAUCUUUUGGAGGAGAAGAGGCAUUCUGGAUUUUUGGAAUAUUCAGCCUUUUUGCCGCGGUUUUUCCUCAUCUUCGUGAAUUUGUCUAUUUUUGGUCUUUGAUGUUGGUGAUCUUUGGUUGGGGUUUUUGCGUGGGUGUCCUUUUUGUUGAUGUUGGUGCUAUUGCUUUCUGUUUGUUAGUUUUCCUUCUGACAGUCAGGCUCCUCUUCUGCAGGUCUGCUGGAGUUUGCUGGAAGUCCACUCCAGACGCUGUUUGCCUGGGUAUCACCAGUGGAGGCUGCAGAACAGCAAAGAUUGCUGCCUGCUCCUUCCUCUGGAAGCUUCGUCCCAGAGGGGCACCCUCCAGAUGCCAGCUGGAGCUCUCCUGUAUGAGUUGUCUGUCAACCCCUGCUGGGAGAUAGCUCCAGGGACCCACUUGAGGAGGCAGUCUGUCCCUUAGCAGAGCUCAGGUGCUGUGCUGGGAGAUAAACUGUGCUCUUCAAAGCCACAGGCAGAACGUUUAAGUGUAAUGAUAUUGAUAUACAACAUGGAUGCAGAAGGAUUUCCAGUAAAUUACAGGCACUGGAAGAAAGUGUUGGGAGGAUGAAGACUGGAGCUGAGCAAUCCACAGCUUUCAAGGAUCUGCUUACAGAUUUGGGAAACUGUAUUCCAUUAUCUGCCCAACUAUCUUUGCAGAGUCAUCCUCAUCACUGUUCCCUCUCCUCUACCCUCAGCCCAAAUUCUACACGUAAAGCAAUAUUGGUGAGAGAACAAGCAGAGCCCGUGAAACCAGGCUGCUGGGCUUGAAGUCUUGCUCUGCCACUUUAUGACCAAGGCGUUUAUAGGAUGAAUGCAAAGUUGGCUUAACGUUUAAAAACAGGCCAGUGCAAUUCAUCACAUUAAGAGAAUAAAGAAGAAAAAUCACCUGAUCAUCUGAGUAGAUGCAAAAAAGUAUUUACCAAAUUUCAACAAACCAUAGAAAAUUAGUUCUAUCUAUGAAAAACCUACAGCUAACAACAUUCUUAAUCAUAAAAUACUGAACGUUUUACCCUAAGAUCAUGAACAAAGCAAGGAUGUCUGUGCGUAUGACUUUUAUGCAGUGUUGUACCAAAGGGUCUAGUCAGUGUAACAAGCAUUAAAAAGAAAUGAAAGUCAUACAGAUUGUAAAAGAUGAAGUAAAUUUGUCUUUAUUCUCAAAAGACAUGAUUAGAUAUACAGGAACUUCUAAGAAAUCUGCUUCAAAAAACCCUCCCAGAGCUAGGUGAAUAUAGCAAGAUCACAGAAUUUAAGGUGAACAUAUAAACUUAAUAUAUGGAAAUACAGCUGCAUAAUUUACACAAAAUUGGAAUAAUGCAGUAGCAUAAAAACCCUUACAAUAUAUGAGAGUAAACACCAGCUAGAGUAGUAACAGUACACCUGCUAUGCUCACACUACAUGUAUAUACAUAACACCUGCACCACGCACACAGAAUCGUGAAGGCAGCAGCCUCAGCAAGACUUCAGGUGACUGUAAAUAAGUAGCACUUAUUCUUAUGUCCCUCAGCUCUAUCCUGUCUGGCUAUGCCUCAAUCUUCAAUCUUUUUCAAUCCAAGGCUUAUUGGGUAUGGGUUAUGCUGGGAGAUUAAGUGAGGCCCAGGAGUUGAUAUAGCAGCAAUGAAGUCUUUGGGACCUUCCAUGAGUCAUUUUAGUGGUGCAGAAGGGGAACAGCCUGAUUAGAGUGAUUUCACAAAACAGGAGAAGAGGAAAUGAAGAUUAGCAGUGAGGAAACUCUUCAGAGUUUUAAGGUAAAGAGGGUAGAAAAACUGGGCCAUAGUUGGAAGAGAAUGCGGGCUGAAACCAAGUUUUUAAUUUUUUUUUCUAAGAUGGGAGAAAUUUGUGUCUUGAUGGGAAUGAUCCUAGUAGAGGUGGAGAACUGUUGAAGUGAUGUCCGUUUGUGAGCGAGAGGGUGUUCACAAAUGCAAGAAAGUUGGCCUUAGAAUGGACGAAGUCUCUUUGCUCCCCAGUGACAAGGUCCAGGGCUAUAGGCACAGGCAGGCUGGUGGAUGUGGAGGCGGAUCAGGUGCAGAUUCUCUUUGCAUUGCUUAUAUUUUCUCAUGGAAUAAGAAACAAAGAAAUAGGCGCGUUGGAAGUUUAAAGGGAGAGAAGUUGAGAAAUUGUUGCAAAACACUAGGAGAAAACCAUGAACUAGGUAAAUAUGGUAGGACAUUGGGCCACAUGAGGGCCCCUUGAAGUUAAAGUGAGACCAGGCAGCAUGGUUGUGUAUUUCUUUCCAGCUGUUCAUAGCUGAAUGGGAACAGGUGGAAUAGACAAAGCAUUAGGCUUAGCCAGGGGCUGUGGUUUUGCCAGAUAAAUAAGAGGAAUGGAGAAAGAUGCAAGGGUAUGAUUAUAAUAGAGCUAUGGAAAGGAAGUUUGAUAAGGGGGAAAAUAACAGGGAUAAAAGGUGAGUGGGAAAAGGUGGUAGGAGUCCUAGAGUGUAGGACUCUCCUGGGUUCUAAAGAGUUGUGAUAAUAACCCAGUGCUUGGCAUCUGUAGUCCUUCAGGGUUGUAUACCAAGUGGUUUGAGUUUGUUUGCAUAAUAAAACUAUGAGGUACUUAGUGCAGAUGGUGGUGGUGGUGAUUCCAAUAGCCGAGACAAGCUCCAAAGAGGUAAAUGGCUUACUGGAAAGUCACACCUGGAGCCAGUGGAGAAGCAUAGACUCAUCCACAGUUCUCUACCAUGGGUAGUCUCUUAUCCCUGUGUGUGGUGUCUGCUCAUGGAUCAUUCAGUCUUGUUGAAGAGAUGGAAGGUAGAAGACAGCCUAAGAGAAAAUGUAAUAAUGCAUUCAAUUCUAUGGGAUGGAGUAGUAUAAGGAGUUUAUCUGAUCAGUAAUACUAUUACAAGUACUAGGGAUAUAGCGGUGAACAAGAUAGAAAAAAGGUCUCUCAGUGCUUUGGGAGGCGGAAGCAGGAGGAUCACACGAGGCCAGGAGUUGAAGAUGAGCCUAGGCAACAUAGUGAGACCCCAUCUCUGCAAAAAAAUAUAUUAAAGAAUUAGCUAGGUAUGGUGGUGUAUGCUCUAGUCCUAGCUACUUAGGAGGCUGAAGUGGGAUGAUUACCUAAGCUCAGGAAUUAGAGGCUGCAGUGAACUGUGACUGUGCCACCAUUGCACUCCAGCCUGAGUGACAGAGUAAGAUUGUGUCCCUUAAAAAGGAAGCAUCCUGAAGUCCUGUGCUUCAGAGAAGUUUUAGAAGGGUUUCUCUGUGACUCUUCUAAAGCAUCAUGAUAUGGUAAAAAGCACAUUUUACUAAAAGUUGGGAAACAUGUUUUUCUGCUACUUGUUUACUGCUACUACUUCUGCUUCUGACAUUGUUGCUUCAACUCACCAUGCUUAGUGGAGGUCCCCAUCUAUAAACUAAGGUGUUGUGGCUUUGAGAGUUCUACUCUGUCUAAAAGUGCUAUGCAUUGAGGUCAGUGUUCUAGCCUAAUGAAAUUGUUGCUAUAAAGUGUCCUCACCCAACCUCCUGCUCUAAAGUGUGGAAAUGCACAUCUUAUUUUGUAGUGAUGAAACUGUUGACAUAGUGAGAUGCUGCAGUAAAAUGCAAAGUCACUCUCCACCUUUGAAACUCUGGGGAAAUCUGAAAGGGAGACAUAGGCUGAGUGCAGGUCCAAGUCUCACCCUUAACUUAGUGAUGUCUCAGACCUGUUAAAAGCUUUGUAAUAACAAAUGAAUGCUUCCCCUCUUCUUACUCCUUCCUUAGGCCUGGAGGAAACGCUGGUUUAUCCUGCGGAGGGGCCAGACUAGCAGUGACCCAGAUGUUCUGGAAUACUACAAGAAUGAUGGCUCCAAGAAGCCCCUGCGCACCAUCAACCUGAACCUCUGUGAGCAGCUGGAUGUUGGUGUGACUCUGAACUUCAACAAGAAGGAGAUUCAGAAGGGCUAUAUGUUUGACAUCAAGACCAGUGAGCGUACCUUUUACCUGGUGGCUGAGACCAGGGAGGACAUGAACAAGUGGGUCCGGAGCAUCUGUCAGAUCUGCGGCUUCAGGCAGGUUGAGGAAAGCACAGGUAUGGGAGCACACACAGCCCUGUCUCAGGAGGGGCUGAGAUGAGGCCCUCCAGUCUCCAGCAAGGAGGGCAGCUCUAGCUGCCAACACUGCCAAGAAGUGUUGGGCUCGUGAUGAAGCUAAAGGCAUUUUUGGUGUUUCUUCAGACACCUCGAUACCACUACCAUCCUCAGUCCUCCACCUCUCCCCCUUCCCUGAGCUCUCUGCACUUUGCCCUGUCACCUCUCAGCCACCUGUAGGGAAGACCUCUCCUUUGCCCUCUACUGAUCCGUCUCUGGCUGUUCUGGCCCACCUACUUCAGACCGCCUGGCACAGUUGCACUUGACCCUUGGUGGGUUUGUUUGGGGUUGCUUUUUGAUUCUUACUGAUUUAUAAUCACUUAGGAGGGGACAGGUGAGAGGAGCAAAUGUAGACUUACGCUUGGGUUUUAAUAACCUUCACAAAAGAGUAGUUCAGCUUCUUAAAAUGAGUUUUAAGUUGCAGAAAUGCUCCUUCACAUUUGUUCAGGCUCAUCCUCUACUCAUCAGGAAGGUUGAGGAGCAGGCUUUUUUUUUUUUUUUUUUUUUUCUGAGGCAGGUGUAUGGUCUAAAUUGGCCAUUCUUGAACCUGGUUGCACAUCAGAAUUAAGGAGGGACAUUUUUAAAAUGUUGAUGCCAAGGACCUGUGCCAAGUGAGUUACCUAGGAAUCUCUUGGGUGGCAGACCCAGGCAUUAGUGUCUUUUGGAAGCUCCACUCUUUCCCACUUUUUUUGGGAGGAUAAAAUUGAAAAAGAAAAGCUUCAUUUUGAGUAGCAAGGGUCCAGGGCUCAGCAGAUACUUCCUGUAAAUAUUUUAGAUUUUGAAGGCCACAUUUAGUCUCUAUUUUAUAUUCCUAUUUUUUAAAAUGUUACAGUCCUUUGAAAAUGUAAAAACCAUUCUUAGCUCAUCAGCAUCAGCAUCACCUGGGAACUUGUUAGACCUGCACAUUCUUGUAAGAAUGUCAGUAAGUAAUUCAUUCUUGUAAGUCAGUCUGCACCCCACUCCGGACUUACUGAAUCAGAAACUCUGGGACAAAACACAGCAGUCUGAUUUUAAGAACUCUCCAGGCAAUGUUUAUUGCCAGAACUGCUUUGAAAGGAUGUUUCUGGAGCUGUAGCCCAUUUGAGAGAGCUGACCAGUUUUAUAGCCGUGGCUUGGUGCUGAUAGACCCCCAGGUCUGCAUAUAAAUGGACUCUGGGUCAUGGAUAGGACUCUACUGCCCGAGUGCUAGACAGGGGCUGUGGAGGUGAGGGUGGGUCACUCUUUCAUCCUCACAGCCCACACAUACAACUGGAGGCAUGAAGGAUGCAUGGGGUGACAGGACAGGGUUAGUGGGUUGUGGAAAAGUGGCCUUUCCUACCAGACUGAGGAGCCUGGACUUUAUUGGGAGGGCGAUGAGGAGCACUGACUGUCACCAGGGGAGUAGUUCCUUACUAUACUACGUCCUUUGUUUGAUCAGCACAUACUUACUGUGUUACACACUGGGCUUGAUUCUGAGAACAAAACCAUUUCAAAAGAGAUGAAAUCUCUGCCCUCGCUGAGUUUUGAGCUGAAUGUAUGGGGUGAUGAGAGAGAGGUUGGUAUUUUACUAGAAUUCCAUUUGAAACACGAGGAAUUACUGGCAAGAAACCAGUUGAAGAAAUAAACAGAAAUAUGGUCUUAGAGAGAGAGUGCUUUGUGAGUCAUCUUAAGGAUGCAGGGCACUGUGGAAGAGCUUUCCAUGAGCAAUGCCGUAAGGACAGGACAUGGUUGGUGAGAAAGAGUGAAGAGUCACAGUGAUGCCUGGGCUCUGGCUUGGAGAGUGCAGUGGACAGUCAUGCUGAUGUGCCUCACUGAGAGGGAACACAGGCAUGCGAGGGGCUCACUUGGAGCAUCAGGGACACGUGCUUGUGGGGUCUCUGCCUUGCAGCAGGGAGCCCCAGAAAGGCCUGAGCUGCAGGUUCAGAUUUUAGAGUUGCCAUCACUUAGGCAGUCCUGGGGGCUGUGGGAGGACAGGAUCACCCUGCAGUAUCCGGAGUCAGAGUGAGGCUGAGGAGGGUCUAGAGCAGAACCGUGAAGAAUAGCUCCACUGAAGGCAGAGGAAGCAGAUCCAACAAGAUGGCAGGAGCAGAGGCUCAGCAGAGCUUCCCAGGCUGCACCCUCCCUGGGCAGCAGCUGUGUUCAUCCUUGGUGCUGUGGCUGAUUGGCCCCCUAGCAUAGACCCUUGCUCCUGCACUGGUAGAGCAUUCAUCUUGCAGGUCUUUUGGAGCUACAAGGCCGUUGAUUCUGUUAGCAGACAUCCCACUGCCCAGGAGACCUGCAUGGGAGCUCAUCUUGGAGUGCACAUAGCUGUAAGUGGAGCCAUCUUUCCCAGAGCCCUGCCAGAUGUUUCUGUUGCUCACUGGCAGAACUUGUCUUGCCUAGCAUCAGAAACAGCUGGAGAGGAGCAGACACUCAGGGGCAUUAGCCAGCUGGGGUUCCUGCCUCAGGCCAUGAGGUGGCACAGCCAGAAAUAGGCCAGAUAUCAGGGGGCAGAAGGAGAACUCUGCCCCCUCUGAUAUGACUUGAAGAACCCUUAGAAAGCCACCAUCAACACCACCCAAACAUAACCCCACUUAGCGAUCACAUCAUUUGAAAUUACACCUGUAGACCUUCAUUUCUUUUGAACAAGAAGUUUUGCUGUUGGGGUUUUUGAUUGCUGAAAAUAUGUUUUUAUUUAUUCUGCAAACACAAACUAAAAACUAUCUAUGUACCUGGCUUCUGUUGGGUAAAUGCUUGGGCCGUGGAGGUAACAACAUCAGUAGCGGUUCUCAAAAACCCAUGGACUGGGCAAGGAAGUGCCUAUGAUGGGAUCAUGCAUAUAAUGGGAACAUGGGCCAAGUGCUGUGACACCCAGAAGAAAGUCGGUCCCUGAAGUUUCAGAGAGAAUAUGAUAUUUGAGCAGGGUCUUAAAGUCUGCAUGUGAGUUUGAGUAGAAGUGAAAUCCAGGCAGAAGGAACAGCAUAAGGCAAAGCAAAGAAGCCUGAAAGAGGCCGGUGUGUGCAGGAUGGCUGAUGCUGCCAUAUACCUUGGUUGUGGGUAUAGGAAAGCAGGAAACAGGUCAGACUGUGAAAGGCCUUGUAGGUUCUGUUGAGGAGUGUGGACAGGUCCUGGAGAGCAAGCCAGAUGAACAGUGUGCUGGGCUUGGGGUGCAGCAAAGUACCACCUGUCCAUGAUACCUCUCUUCCUUGCCAACACCACAGGAGAGUCUGAGAUGCCAUGGAAGGACAGGCAGGAAAGCUGGGUUUCCAAGAAUGCGGCUUCAGUUGGCAAGCCUCGCUUCACCCAGACAGCCUUAGCUCUGAGGGAGGCCAUGACAGAGAACCCACCAUGGAGGAGGGAGGUGGCGGCACUCACCACUGCAGAGGCUGUCUUGCCUGGGGGCCCGGACCACAAUCCUGGACUGUGGGGAGCCACACCGUCUGGGAGUGGAGCAGUCAGGGCCCAGGGCACUAUGAGGCCUCCAGGCUGCUCCAGGGUAGGAAAGAGGCAGAGCGUCUGCUCCUUAGCCAGGAUAGCCAGGAGGCACCAGCCCUCCUCUGGGAGGACAGAGGGGGCAGGCAUGUGAGAGGAAGAGUGCUGGUGCUGGAUUAGCGCCACUGUCUUCACGUGUUUCUGCCUCUAGCAGCCCACUUUGGAACAAGGAUGCCCUUCCUUCCUGUUUCAUUCACAGGCUCCCUGGGAAACAUUUCCUCAGCCAGUCACGGCCCCUGCUCUUCUCCAGCUGAGCCCAGCCGCUCCCAUCAGCACCUCCCCCAAGAACAAGAACCCACAUCUGAGCCCCCGGUGUCUCACUGUGUGCUGCCCGCCUGGCCCAUCCCUGCACCUCGGGGGUGUGUCUGCUCGCAGCAGCACGCCAGCCAGAGAGCAGAACAUGCAAGGUAGGGGCCCCCACGGCCAGUGGGGGCAGUGACCCCCCUCAAGGUCUUGUUUUAUUCAGUCCUUGAUUUUUUUAAAUUUCAAAGAGAAGGACAUAAAAUAUUAUAUCUUUCCAGGUAAGCAAACAUAUAUAACAAAAUUUAAUUUUUUGUUUAUGUAGCCUUCACAUUUUAUUGGUUUUAUUUGUGUUGCUACAAAGUGAUAAUUGGAUUCCUAAGAAACCUACCAUUAUAAAAAAACCAUGCCAUGAAAAUUUUGUUUGCUUGUGGGGAAAAAAGCACUAGAGGCUAGAGUUUCAGAACUGCAAAUAACAAAGUCGGUUUAUGUGUUGGCCUUAAGAGGACAGCUAUGAAACCUUAAGAUUGAUGACAGAUCCAUAGCUCAGUUGAAUUCUAAGCUGUGCUGCUCCACAGUAGCUGCAGUCAUGGCUAUUUAAAUUUAAGCUAAUUAAAAUUAAAUUAAAUUUCCAGUUCAGUUUCUCAGUUAUAGUAGCCACAAGUCAAAUGCUCAGUAGCCACUAAAGUGACUAGCAAAGAUAGGCAGCAUGUCCAUCACCACAGAUGGUUUCACAAGGGACUCCUUGCUCUGGAACCAUGACCUCUGCUUCUCUGACACCACUGGCUGUCUCACAGGGGCAGGGCCUGCACCAGUUUUAUCACCUGUUAUUCCCAGUGUAAGGUCAGGCAAAUGUGCAGAGGGGAUGGGCUUGGCCAGAGCUGGUGCUCAGUUGCUACCGUGGCACACAGAUCACAGUCACAUUCCUUGGUUUGUUAGUUUAGAAAUACCUAAAUCAUGCUGUGAAAAUGAAGGCAGACAGACAAAUGGCUGUGUUAAUAGAGGACUUCAUGACAUCUGUGAGAAUAUUUUCAUACAUAAUCUCACUUGGACCAGUCAAACAUAUGAGAGAUAGCUAGGAAGAUCAUUUAUCUCCAUUUUAUAGGUGAAGCACCUGAGGCUCACAGCUAUCAAAUGGUAGAGGCGGGACUAGAACCCAGGUGUCCUCACAUCUGUCCUGAACUCUUUGCCCCACACUUUGCUGCACCCCUGGUUUUCUACUCCUUUUUCUGUAACACAGCAGGGGCUCCAGCACUCAAUCUGAAGGCUAGUUCCAUCACCCAUUUUCCUGAAGCAAUGCGAUUCCUUUGUUUGUGAACUUUCAGCAGUUCCACCUUCAUCAACUGAUACAUGAAGAUCUGUGUUCUAGAAAGAUAGAACGAAUUAACCAAGAUCACUAAACUAGUUAGUGGCAGAACCACACUGGUACCUGCCUCUACUGAGUCCCAGACCAGAGGGAUAGGCAGUACAGUGCAAUGGAAAGCAUGGCACAGGCUUGGCAUCGGCCAGAUAUGGUUUCAAAUUGAGGUUCUGCCACUUUUCUUGGCAUCUUAGGCCACUUAUUUAACCUCUUUGACCUUCAACUUCCUUAUCUUCAGAAUGGAAACAACUAACUCAAAGGCUGAUGGGUGUAAGGUGACAGAACACACAUGAAGUGCACAGUGGCAGAUGCCCAGUCCAUGUUGCUUGUGGUUCUCCCUGUGCCCCUUUCCGUCUAUUGCAUGUAUGAAUGCCUGGACAGAGAGAACUGAGGUCUUCCAGUCGUCAUUCUUGUAAAAGACACAGUGCUUCGUGUUGGUGCCCUUCAUACUUUCACAUGCACGUGGAACACCUGGGGAGCUUGCUGAGAUGCUUGUUUUCAUCAGCGAACCUGGGGUGGGUCCUACAGUCCUGCCUUGCUGACACAGACUGAGGAUACCAGUGCAGCUCAUCUGCAGGACACACUUUAUGUAGAAGGCUUGGUAUACUAACAGCCACCACCACCUGCACUCCCAUGACACAGCUGAAGCAAAAGGAGACAGACAGGUAAAUGUCUGUCUGCAUGAGCAGUGAGGGUCCACUUUCUACAUUCCUUCCUCCUCUGUGAAAUUCCUGUUAGUCUUACCAGCAAGAGCUGGUUUCUUUGAAUCACCACAGCAGUUUUUUAUGUUCUCUCUCCCAGCAUUUGGGGCUGUCUGCCUCAUGUUAAUGGAUUUCUGUGUUAAGAUGUUCUGGAUGUUAUGGAGGUCGUGUUAUGGAUUUUCUGUGUUAAGAUGCUCUGAGGACACAAGGCAGGGCAUAUAGUAUGUCUAUAUCAGUACAUGAUCAGCGUUUGAUGGUCGUCUGCUGUAGUGAGAUGGCACAUUUGAGGAGAAAGAACUGUCUAAAGCUUGGGAACAGCACUGCCAUGGGCCCUUGGCCAGGCUGUGCUGUCCUCUUUGUUUUCGCUUGUGUGGAUGAGGGAGUGAGAGGACAAUUAGCAAUAUCUCAGGGUAGUUUCUACAGAAAAGUUAGACAUUGUUUGCCAAAUUCCAAGGGGAGAUGGAGAAUAGGAAGGAAGCUUUCUUAAGUCCUGAAAGAUGAUAUUGUUUCUGAUGGUAGUGGCAUAGCUUGCAUCAUACUAAACCUACUGAACAGUUAGAAACUGAGACAUUAGAAAACAACUGUUUGAAGGCACUGAAGAACAAUCAAAACUCUGGAACAGAUUUGACUCUUGAAAGAACUGAGAUUCAAUUUCCAUGGCUUUUCCUAGAACAGAUCCCAGAUAGUCAGUAUCCGAUGAAAAAUUACUAGCCGUAUGAGUAAAUAGUAAAAGUUGACCCACAGUUUAGAGAACUCAGUACAUAGAAACAGACCAGAAUAGACCCAGAUUUUGGAGCUAGCCUACAAAGACUUUAAAAUAAGUAUGUUAACUUUUUAAAUCUGUGAGCAAAAAAUGUAUGUAAUGGGUGAAGAGAUGAUGGAUUUUGGGAGAGAUACAGGGAUCCUGGAAAAGUACUUAGGAGUUCCAGCUCCACUGUGGUGGCAGACCCACUGCAGGAUAUCAUUCCCAGAUCACAGCUUAAAACUCUGGACACAUACAAAGUACAAUUACCCAAAGACCCUGGGAAGUAAAUGAAAGGAGGCAGGGUAUGGACUGGAGAAAAACUUGGAGCAGCAAAUACACAGAGGUCAAUUUUCUGUCUUGCAUGGAUUUGCCUCCAGGGUGUGCUCACACAAAGCAGCACAGUGGGGCCAGUGGUUAAAACUUUCCUGGAAACGCCAUCUUUCUAGGUAGAGGAACCAGGAAAGAGCCCAAUGGAGCUGGAAAGGAUUCUAGAGCAGAGUGAGCUGGAGAAGGGAUCUGCUAAUUCUGAGCACGAAACCACCCAAGUCUUAUGCUCACCUUGAGCUACAUGUGUGUGGAAAGUCCCAAACCAGUGUAACAGAGCUAUAUGAACUGAGCACAGCUUGGCACUACCACACAGAGAAGAGAUGGAACUUGCAGUCUCAACCUAACCAGCUUGAUUUCCUGCAGAAACCAAAACAUCAACAUUCUCCCAAGGAUUAUGGCAACCCACAGUCUACACAAAACACAACAUGCACAACAUUCAGGAUGUAAUUCACAUUUUCUCAGCUUACAGAGAACCAGCAGAAUUUAACCAGUUCUAAUUGGAAGAAACAGAUGUGAACCUCAAGAUAAUACAGAUGUUGGCUAUAUACCCAGCAGUGAGAUUGCUGGAUCAUAUGGUAGUUCUAGUUUUAGUUUUUUGAGGAACCUCCAUAUUGUUUUCCGUAGUGGCCGUGCUAAUUUACAUUCCUACAAAGAGUAUAUAGAGCAUUCCCAUUUCUCCAUGCCCUUAUCAGCAUUUGUUAUUAUCUUUUGAUAAUAGCCAUUUUAACUGGGGGAGAUGAUAUCUCAUUGUGAUUUUGAUUUGCAUUUUCCUAAUGACUGGUGAUGUUGAUAAUUUUUUCAUUUACCUAUUGGCCAUUUGGAUGUCUUCUUUGGAGAAAUGUCUAUCCAGAUCUUUUGUCCAUUUUGUAAUCUGAUUAUUUGAUUUUUUGUCCAUUGAGUUGUUUGAGUUCCUUAUAUAUUCUAUUAAUUUCUUAUUGGAUGAAUAGUUUGAAAAUACUUUCUCCUAUUGCGUAGAUUGUUUCUAUACCUUAUUAAUUUUUUCCUUUGCUGUAUAGAAGCUUUUUAGCUUGAUAUAAUUCCAUUUGUCAGUUUUUGCUUUGAUUACCUGUGCAUUUGAGGUGCUAUUCAAGAACGUUUUGGCUAGACCAAUGUUUUGAAUUGUUUUCUCAAUGUUUUCUUCUACAUGUUUCAUGGUUUCAGGUCUUACAUUUACAUGUUUAAUCAAUUUUGAGUUGAUUUUUGUAUAGGGUGAGAGAUAGGGCUCUAGUUUCAUUCAUACAUUCAUAUGGAUAUUUAUUUUUCCCAGCACCAUUUAUUGAAGAGACUGUUCUUUCCCCAAUGUAUACUCUUGGCAUCUUUGUUGAAAAUGAGUUGACUGUAAAUGCAUGAAUUUAUUUCUGAGAUCUGUAUUCUGUUCCAUUGGACUGUGUGUCCAUUUUUAAGUCAGUGCCAUGCUGUUUUGGUUAUAGCUUUGUAGUAUAUUUUGAAGUCAGGUAAUAUGAGUCCUCCAGUUUUGUUCUUUUUUGCUCAGGGUUGCUUUGGCUGUUCUGAUUCUAGUGUGGUUUCAUAUAAAUUUUAGAGUUUUUGUUUCUAUUUCUGUAGAAAAUACAGAAUGGUAUUUUGAUAGGCAUUGACUCUGCAGAUUUCUUUAGGUAGUGUUGGAGUGAUCAGAUGCAACACCAGGCCAUGAGGGCUAUGAAGUCUGGUGGAGUGAAAGGAAUGAGAAAAGACAAGUUAAGAGUAAAAGUGGGACCAGGGGGCCAAUGCUAGUAUGGAGGCUGUGAAGGCUUCGAGCUCUGGGAGCCCAUGCUAUUUAUUGGUGAUCAAACAAAGAAACAGGUGAUGAGGAUGUGGGGUUGAAAGGUAGUGAUGCAUCAAGCCCAUGAUCUACACCUGUGACGGUUUAGCAUUUUCUUUGAAGCAUAUGGAACAUGUUCUGCUACUUGAGAUAAUGGAAACAUGUUCUUCUAGUUUAAGAUACAAUCAACCUAUGAGCCUGGGAAUGCUAGAAGCAAGGAGCCAGCAAGUCUAGACACAUUCCAGAGGCCACUAGGGGUUUUAUGCCCUGAGCCCUGGAUUCCAUCCAAGCCACGAGGGGUUUUAUGCCCUGGGCUUAGAUUAUGGUGCGGCAGGGCAGCCUUCCACCCUUUGGCACAGAACUUGGUGUUCCAAAGGCCAAAAGGGGUUUUAGACCCUGGACCCUGGACAUGUUCCGAGACUCUUUUACAUUAUGUCAGACAUGCAAGCCCUGCCUCAGCUUUUUUCCCAACACUCAGCUUUUCUCCAAUGGAAGUCAGGUAGUAUGAUUCUUCCAGUUUUGUUCUUUUUGCUCAGGGUUGCUUUGGCUGUUCUGAUUCUUGUGUGGUUUCAUAUAAAUUUUAGAAUCUUUGUUUCUAUUUCUGUAGAGAAUACUGAAUGUAUUUUGAUAGGCAUUGAUUCUGCAGAUUUUUUUAGGUAGUGUGGACAUUUUAACAAUAUUAAUUUUUGCAAUCAUGAUCAUGGGGUAUUGUUCCAUUUUCAUAUCCUUUUUAAUUUCUUUAAUAAAUAUUUUAUACUUUCAUUGUUGAGAUCUUUUACUUCUUUAAGAUUAUUUCUAAGUAUUUUUUGUAGCUACUGUAAAUGGGAUUGCUUUCUUAAUUUCUUUUUUAGACUGUUUGCUGUUGACAUAUAGAAAUACUACUGAUUUUUACACAUUGAUUUUGUAUCCUGCAUCUUUUCUGAAUUUAUUUAUCUGUUCCAACAGCCUUUUGGCAUUUUUAAGUUUUCCUAAAUAUAAGAUUAUAUUGUCUGCAAACAAGGACAAUUUUACUUCUUCCUUUUCAAUUUGGAUGCCCUUUCUUUCUCCCUUCUCAUUGCUCUGGCUAGGACUUCUAGUACCAUGUUGAAUAACCGUGUGAAAGUGGGCAUUCUUGUCUUGUUCCAGAUUUUAGAGGAAAGGCUUUUCAUUUUUCCCUGUUCAGUAUGAUGCUAGCUGUGGGUUUUGCAUGUAAAGCCUUUAUUGUUUUGAGGUAAGUUCCUUCUAUAUCUGGUUUGUUGAGAGUUUUUAUUGUCAAGGGAUGUAGCAUUUUAUCAAAUAACUUUUUGUCAUGUUUUGAAAUGAUCAUAUGGUUUUUGUUUUUGAAUCUAUUAAUGUGGUGUAUCAUGUUCAUUUCUUUGCAUAUGUUGAACCCUCCUUGCAUCCCUGAGAUGAAUCUCACUUGAUAAUUAUCUUUAUAAUAUAUUGUUAUAAACAUCAGGGAUGUUUCCUUUUUUUGUUGUAUCUUUGUCUGUUUUUGGUAUCAGGAUAGUGCUUCAUAGGAUGAGUUUAGAAGUAUUCCAUCCUCCUCAACAUUUUGGAAUAGUUUGAGAAGAAUUGAUGUUAGUUCUUCAUAUGUUUGGUAGAAAAUCAGCAGGGAAGCCAUCAGGUCUUGGGUUUUUCUUUGAUGGGAGUUUAUUACUGCGUCUAUCUUGUGACUUCUUGGUCUGUUCAGGUUUUCUAUUUCUUCAUGAUUCAACCUUGCUAGGUUGUAUUUGUGUAGGAAUUAAUCCAUAUCUUCCAGGUUUUCCCAUUUUUGGCAUAUUGUUGCUCAUAAUAGUCUCUGAUGGUCCUUUGAAUUUUUGUCUUAUCAGAUGUAAUGUCUCCUUUUUUGUCUCUGAUUUUAUUUAAGGCUUGACUCAUUUUUUGUUAAUCUAGCUAAAGGAUUAUCAAUUUUGUUUACCUUUUCAAAAAAGCAAAAUUUUUGUUUCAUUGAUAUUUUAUUUUUUUCACUCUAAAUUUUAUUUAUUUCUGCUCUGAACUGUAAUAUUUAUUUCCUUCUAAUUUGGGGUUUGGUUUUUUCUUACUUUUCAACUUUUUUAAGGGGCAUCAUUUAGAUUUUUUUCUAUUCCAUACUAUAUUUUAUAUUUAUAUUUAUUUAUUUAUUUUUAUUAUACUUUAAAUUCUGGGAUACGUGUGCAGAACGUGCAGGUUUGUUACAUAGGUAUACAUGCGCCAUAGUGGUUUGCUGCACCCAUCAACCUGUCAUCUACAUUAAGUAUUUCUCCUAAUGCUAUCCCCUCCCUUAUCUCCCCACCCCUUGACAGGCCCCGAUGUGUGAUGUUUCCCUCCCUCUGUCCAUGUGGUCUCAUUGUUCACCUCCUACUUAUGAGUGAGAACAUGUGGUGUUUGGUUUUCUGUUCUAGGGUAAGUUUGCUGACAAUGAUGGUUUCCAGCUUCAUUCAUGUCCCUGCAAAGGACGUGAACUCAUUCUUUUUUAUGGCUGCAUAGUAUUCUAUGGUGCAUAUGUGCCACAUUUUCUUUAUCCAGUCUAUCAUUGAGGGGCAUCCGGGUUGGUUCCAAGUCUUUGCUAUUGUGAGUAGUGCUGCAAUAAACAUACGGGUGUACUUGUCUUUAUAGUAGAAUGAUUUAUAAUCCUUUGGGUAUAUACCCAGUAAUGGGAUUGCUGGGUCAAAUGGUAUUUCUAGUUCUAGAUCCUCGAGGAAUCGCCACACUGUCUUUCACAGUGAUUGAACUAAUUUACAGUCCCACCAACAGUGUAAAAGUGUUCCUAUUUCUCCACAUCCUCUCCAGCAUCUGUUGUUUCCUGACUUUUUAAUGAUCACCAUUCUAACUGGCAUGAGAUGGUAUCUCAUUGUGGUUUUGAUUUGCAUUUCUGUAAUGACCAGUGAUGAUGAGCUUUUUUUCAUGUUUGUUGGCUGCAUAAAUGUCUUCUUUUGAGAAGCGUCUAUUAUCCUUUGGCCCCUUUUUGAUGGGAUUGUUUGAAUUUUUCUUGUAAAUUUGUUUAAGUUCCUCGUAGAUUCUGGAUAUUAGCCCUUUGUCAGAUGGAUAGAUUGCAGAAAUAUUCUCCCAUUCUGUUGUUUGCCUGUUCACUCUGAUGAUAGUUUCUUUUGCUGUGUAGAAGCUGUUUAGCUUAAUUAGAUCCUAUUUGUCUGUUUUGGCUUUUGUUGCCAUUGCUUUUGGUGUUCUAUUCAUGAAGUCUUUGCCCAUGCCUGUGUGCUUAAUGGUAUUGCCUAGGUUUUUUUCCACGGUUUUUGUGGUUUUAGGUCUUACGUUUAAGUCUUUAAUCCAUCUUGAGUUAAUUUUUGUAUAAGGUGUAAGGAAGGGGUCCAAUUUCAGUUCCCUGCAUAUGGCUACCCAGUUUUCCCAACACCAUUUAUUAAACAGGGAAUCCUUUCCCCAUUGCUUGUUUUUGUCAGCCUUGUCAAAAGUCGGAUGGUUGUAGAUGUGUGGUGAUUUCUGAGGCCUCUGUUCUGUUCCAUUGGUCAAUAUAUCUGUUUUGGUACCAGUCCCAUGUUUUGGUGCCUGUAGCCUCAUAGUAUAGUUUUAAGUCAGGUAGCAUGAUGCCUCCAUGUUUGUUCUUUUUGCUUAGGACAGUCUUGGCGAUAUGGGCUCUUCUUUGGUUCCUUAUGAAAUUUAAAGUAGAUUUUUCUAAUUCUGUGAAGUCAAUGGUAGCUUGAUGGGAAUAGCAUUGAAUUCGUAAAUUUCUUUGGGCAGUAUGGCCAUUUUCAUGAUAUUGAUUCUUCCUAUCCAUGAGCAUGGAAUGUUUUUCCAUUUGUUUCUGUCCUCUCUUAUUUCCUUGAGCAGUGGUGUGUAGUUCUCCUUGAAGAGGUCCUUCCCAUCCCUUGUAAGUUCUAUUCCUAGGCAUUUUAUUCUCUUUGAAGCAAUUGUGAUUGGGAGUUCACUCAGGAUUUGGCUAUUAUUGGUUUAUAAGAAUACUUGUGAUUUUUGCACGUGGAUUUUGUAUUCUGAGACUUCACUGAAGUUGCUUAUCAGCUUAAGGAGAUUUUGGGCUGAGACGAUGGGGUUUUCUAAGUAUACAAUCGUGUCAUCUGCAAACAGAGACAACUUGACUUCCUCUUUUCCUAAUUGAAUACCCUUUAUUUCUUUCUCUGAUUGUGCUGGCCAGAACUUCCAAUACUAUGUUGAAUAGGAGUGGUGAGAGAGGGCAUCCUUGUCUUGUGCCAGUUUUCAAAGGGAAUGCUUCCAGUUUUUGCCCAUUCAGUAUGAUAUUGGCUGUGGGUUUGUCAUAAAUAGCUCUUAUUAUUUUGAGAUACAUCCCAUCAAUACCUAGUUUAUUGAGAUUUUUUAGCACGAAGGGGUGUUGAAUUUUAUUGAAGGCCUUUUCUGCAUCUAUUGAGAUAAUCAUGUGGUUUUUGUCAUUGGUUCUGUUUAUAUGAUGGAUUAUGUGUAUUGAUUUUCGUAUGUUGAACCAGCCUUGCAUCCCAGAAAUGAAGCCAGUUUGAUCGUGGUGGAUAAGCUUUUUAAUGUGCUGCUAGAUUCAAUUUGCCAGUAUUUUAUUGAGGAUUUUCUCAUCGAUGUUCAUCAGGGAUAUUGGCCUGAAAUUUUCUUUCUUUUUGUGUCUUUGCCAGGUUUUGGUGUCAGGAUGAUGCUGGCCUCACAAAAUGAGUUAGGGAGGAGUCCAUCUUUUUCUAUUUUUUGGAAUAGUUUCAGAAGGAAUGAUAUCAGCUCCUCUUUGUGCCUCUGGUAGAAUUCGGCUGUGAAUCCGUCUGGUCCUGGGCUCUUUUUGGUUGGUAGGCAAUUAAUUACUGCCUCAAUUUCAGAACUUGUUAUUGGCCUAUUCAGGGAUUCGACUUCCUUCUGGUUUAGUCUUGGGAGGGUGUAUGUGUCCAGGUAUUUGCCCAUUUCUUCUAGAUUUUCUAGUUUAUUUGCAUAGAGGUGUUUAUAGUAUCCUCUGAUGCUAGUUUGUAUUUCUGUGGGGUCAGUGGUGAUAUCCACUUUAUCAUUUUUUAUUGUGUCUAUUUGAUUCUUUUCUCUUUUCUUCUUUAUUAGUCUGGCUAGUGGUCUAUCUAAUUUGUUAAUCUUUUCCAAAAGACAGCUCGUGGAUUCAUCGAUUUUUUGAAAGUUUUUUUGUGUCUCUGUAUCCUUCAGCUCUGCUCUGAUCUUAGUUAUUUUUUGUCUUCUGCUAGCUUUUGAAUUUGUUUGCUCUUGCUUCUCUAGUUCUUUUAAUUGUGAUGUUUGGGUGUUGAUUUUAGAUCUUUCCUGCUUUCUCUUAUGGGCAUUUAGUGCUGUAAAUUUCCCUCUGAACAUUGCUUUAGCUGUGUCCCAGAGAUUGUGGUACGUUGUGUCUUUGUUCUCAUUGGUUUCAAAUAACUUAUUUAUUUCUGCCUUAUUUUCGUUAUUUACCCAGUAAAUAAAUUCAGGAACAGGUUGUUCAGUUUCCAUGUAGUUGUGCAUUUUUGAGGGAGUUUCUUAAUCCUGAGUUCGAAUUUGAUUGCACUGUGGUCUGAGAGACUGUUUAUGAUUUCCCUUCAUUUGCAUUUGCUGAGGAGUGUUUUACUUCCAAUUAUGUGGUCAAUUUUAGAAUAAGUGAGUGCUAUGUGGUACUCAGAAGAAUGUAUAUUCUGUUGAUUUGGGAUGGAGAGUUCUGUAGAUGUCUAUUAGGUCUGCUUGUUCCAGAACUGAGUUCCAGUCCUGAAUAUCCUUGUUAAUUUUCUGUCUCAUUGAUCUGUCUAAUAUUGACAGUGGGGUGUUAAAGUCUCCCAUUAUUAUUGUGUGGGAGUCUAAGUCUCUUUGUAGUCUAGAAGAACUUGCUUUAUGAAUCUGGGUGUGCCUGUAUUGGGCACAUAUAUAUUUAGGAUAGUUAACUCUUCUUGUUGAAUUGAUCCCUUUACCAUUAUGUAAUGCCCUCUUUGUCUCUUUUGAUCUUUCUUGGUUUAAAGUGUGUUUUAUCAGAGACUAGGAUUGCAACCCCUGCUUUUUUUUUUUUUGCUUUCCAUUUGCUUGGUAAAUCUUCCUUCAUCCUAUUAUUUUGAGCCUAUCUGUGUCUUUGCACGUGAGAUGGGUCUCCUGAAUACAGCACACCAAUGGGUCUCAACUCUUUAUCCAAUUUGCCAGUAUGUAUCUUUUAAUUGUGGCAUUUAGCCCAUUUACAUUUAAGGUUAAUAUUGUUAUGUGUGAAUUUGAUCCUGUCGUUAUGAUGCUAGCUGGUUAUUUUGACUGCUGGUUGAUGCAGUUUCUUCCUAGCAUCGAUGGUCUCUACAUUUUGGUAUGGUUUUGCAGUGGCUGGUACUGGUUUUUCCUUCCCAUGUUUAGUGCGUCCUUCAGGAGAUCUUGUAAGGCAGGCAUGGUGGUGACAAAAAUCUCUCAGCAUUUGCUUGUCUGUAAAGAAAUUUAUUUCUCCUUCACUUAUGAAGCUUUGUUUGGCUGGAUAUGAAAUUCUGGGUUGAAAAUUCUUUUCUUUAAGAAUGUUGAAUAUUGGCCCCUUCUCUCUUCUGAGUUGUAGGGUUUCUGCAGAAAGAUCUGCUCUUAGUCUGUUGGGCUUCCACCUUUCUCUCUGGCUGCUCUUAGCAUUUUUUCCUUCAUUUCAACCUUGCUGAAUCUGAUGAUUAUGUGUCUUGGGGUUGCUGUUCUCGAGGAGUAUCUUGGUGGUGUUCUCUGUAUUUCCUGAAUUUGAAUGUUGGCUUCUCUUGCUAGGUUGGGGAGGUUCUCCUGGAUGAUAUCCUGAAGAGUGUUUUCCAACUUGGUUCCAUUUUCCCUGUCAUUUUCACAUACACCAAUCAAACGUAGCUUGGUCUUUUCACAUAGUCCCACAUUUCUUUGAGGCUUUGCUCAUUUCUUUUAAUUCUUUUUUCUCUAAUCUCGUCUUCAUGCUUUAUUUCAUUAAGUUGAUCUUCAAUCUCUGAUAUCCUUUCUUCUGCCUGAUGGACUUGUCUAUUGAUACUUGUGUAUUCUUCAUGAAGUUCUCAUGCUGUGUUUUUCAGCUCCAUUAGGUCAUUUAUGUUCUUCUCUGAAUUAGUUAUUCUAGUUAGCAAUUCCUGUAACCUUUUAUCAAGGUCUUUAGUUUCCUUGCAUUGGGUUAGAACAUGCUCCUUUAGCUCAGAGGAGUUAUUACCCACCUUCUGAAGCCUAAUUCUGUCAGUUCGUCAAACUCAUUCUCUGUGCAGUUUCGUUCCCUUUCUGGUGAGGAGUUGUGAUCCUCUGGAGGAGAAGAGGUGUUCUGGCUUUUCAGCCUUUUUGCACUGUUUUUUCCUCAUCUUCUUCAAUUUGUCUACCUUUGAUCUUUGAUGUUGGUGAUCUUCGGAUAGGGUUUUUGUGUGGAUUUUUUUGUUGUUGUUGUUGAUGCUAUUCCUUUCCGUUUGUUAGUUUUCUUUCUAACAGUCAGGCCCGUCUGCUGCAGCUCUACUGGAGUUUGCUGGAGGUCCACUCCAGACCCUGUAUCACCAGCGGAGUAUCACCAGUGGAGACUACAGAACAGCAAAGAUAGAUGUCUGUUCCUUGCUCUGGAAGCUUCGUCCCAGAGGGGCACCUGCCAGAUGCCAGCUGGAGCUCUCCUGUAUGAGGUGUCUGUCGAUCCCUGCUGGGAGGUGUCUCCAGUCAGGAGGGACAGGGGUCAGGGACCUGCUUGAGGAGGCAGUCUGUCCCUUAGCAGGGCUCGGGCGUUGUGCUGGGAGAUAUGCUGCUUUCUUCAGAGCCACAGGCAAAACAUUUAAGUCUGCCAAAACUGCGCCCACAGUUGCUCCUUCCCCCAGGUGCUCUGUCCCAGGCAGAUGGGGUUUUGUCUAUAAGCCCCUGACUCGGACUGCGGCCUUUUUUUCAGAGAUGCCCUGCCCAGAGAGGAAGAAUCUAGAGAGGCAGUCUGGCCACAGUGGCUUUGCCGAGCUAUGGUGGGCUUUGCCCAGUUAGAACUUUCUGGAGGGUUUGUUUACACUGUGAGGGGAAAACCGCCUAUUCAUGCCUCAGUAAUGGCGAAUGCCUCACCCCCACCAAGCUUCAGUGUCCCCGGUUGACUUCAGACUGUUGUGCUGGCAGCGAGAAUUUCAAGCCAGUGGAUCUUAGCUUGCUGGUCUCCAUGGGGGUGGGAUCCCCUGAGCUAAACCACUUGGCUCCCUAGCUUCAGCCCCAUUUUCAGGGGAGUGAACAGUUCUGUCUCUCUGGCAUUCCAGGUGCCACUAGGGUAUGGAAAAAAACUCCUACAGCUAGCUCGGAGUCUGCCCAAAAAGCUGCCCAGUUUUGUGCUUGAAACCCAGGGCCCUGGUGGUGUAGGCACCCGAGGGAAUCUCCUGGUCGUGGGUUGUGAAGACCAUGGGAAAAGUGUAUCUGGGCCAGGAUGCACCAUUCCUCACAGCACAGUCCCUCUUGGCUUCCCUUGGCUAAGAGAGGGAGUUCCCCAACACUUUGUGCUUCCCUGGUGAGGUGACACCCCACCCUGCUUCAGCUCACCCUCUGUGGGCUGCACCCACUGUCUAACCAGUCCCAGUGAGAUGAGCCAGGUAUCUCAGUUGGAAAUGCGGAAAUCACCCACCUUCUGCGUUGAUCUUGCUGGGAGCUGCAGACCAGAGCUGUUCCUAUUUGGCCAUCUUGCCAGCCACCCAUCAUUUAGAUUUUUAAAGUGUUUAUUUAUUUAUUUAAAUGCAGUGACCAAGUGCAAAAGGAAGUGGCUACAAAACCUAGGAAACCAUUUUUAAAAGUCAGGGGAGAGCUCUGGGUUGAUAUUGACACCAAAGAAUAUUCAGGAGGUGGUGUGACAGCCCCACAUGCCACCAGCCUCUGUGCAGCCAGAAGCCUAGGACAGGAGGAAAGGUGCACUGCGCUGCUGGCUGGAGUGAGUGUUUACUCCCAAACUGCUUGCUGACUCCAGGAAGCACCCUGCACACUUGUGCUUUAGUGUCUCCCUGUACCAACUUGGCCAUUUCUGCCUUCCUCAUCUGCUAUGCAGGGGUAACGUGUUUCUCAGACCUAUUAGGAAGAUUUAAAGUGGCAUCACAUGCCAUGUGCCUGACACAGGGUCUUACCUGUUUUAUGCGGCUUCUGUCAGCCUGCAGUCCUGGAAGAGAAGCAUCUCUCCAAAUCCACUGCUCCCAGGUAUCCAUCCAACAAAACCAAUGCAGGACAUCAUAGUAACAUUGGCCUCACAUGGGUGUGCAUGGCAGUAAUGGAGUCCCCAGGACCUCUGAGUCCUCAGAGUUCUCCUCCUGAUUCUUGCCCAAGGGGAGCACACUGCAGCAGGGAUUGAGCAGCAUGUCCAGAGCCCUGGGUGUUGGCACAGUGCUCCUGUUCUUUGAGUAGGUAAUUUCGGGCAUGUUGGCUUCCUUUGAUUACCUUUUACCUGAUGUAGUCCUACUCAAAAUGCAUUAGUGUCAUCUACCAUAAGCCAGGCAUAAUUCCAUGGGACAGGAUCUGGCCCUCUGCUGUCUUGGAGGACAUGGUUGGCUAGGAGUAGAGAGACACAGACCCAGAAACCAACACAAGACAGAGCAAGGUCCGUGUUCUGAUGGGAGCCCAGGUGCUGCGGGAACAGGGAGGAAGAGCACAGGGUCUUCUGGGAGUCGGGAGACUCACACACUGAUAACACACACCAGACAGAGUGAGUGCAUGUCCUGAUGGGAGCCCAGGUGCUAUGGGGGCACAGAAGAGGGUGUGCUUAAGAUGAGAGAAUUAGGGACCAGUAAUUCUUUUGUAGAUGGAAAGUCUUUUGGACUUGGUGUAAUAUUUUGAUGCAUCAGAGAGAAGCAUUCCAGGGCGAGGUGAGGCAUGCAAACCUAGGGAUGGGGUUUAGACCAUGUGGGACGUACUCAGGGGUGAGUAGUAUCUGAGCUGGAGUAAACGACAUGGGCAGGUGGAUAUUUGGACAUAAGAAAGUGGGGUUUAAGGAGGAAGAGUUUGGAUCUACUGCUUCAAAGUGUUUGGUCCAAGCUCAGGAAAAAGGAUGGCAGCACCCCACUUUUCUUUAUUUACUUUUGCAUUCAUUUGCUUGUUCCUUCAGCAAACAUUUAUUCGUUAUUUACUAUGUGACAAGCACUAACCUGGGUGCUGAGGAAAGAAAGAUGAGUAAGACAGGGUUUCCUUCCUCAGGGAAAUCAUAGUCUGGUGGAAGAGAUAAGUAACAAUGGAGUGUGAUGCAGAUAGUAAUUUGAUGCUGCUCCAAGAACAGUUAUGCAGGUGAUUAGUUACACUUGGAGGCAGAGGAUGUAAGAGAGGCUUUUACAAAUGUGCCUUUUGAGCUGAGUUUGAAGGAUAAAUGGAGUAGGAGCUUGCCAGAGGGACCUCAGAAGCCAUCCAGGGACAGCUGACAACAGGACAAAGCCCAGAAGUGUCACUGAGAGGAGCAUGCUGGGGACACAGUGACGUCUGGUUUGAGUGGAUCCUAGGUGGGAAGGGUAACUAGGAAGAAAAGACUGGAAAGAUGGGAUGGAAUAAAGCUGGGAGUUUGGGCUUCAUCCUAAAGGCACUGUGACAGUGGUGAAGAUGUUUAAGCUGGGAGGUCAGGAAGGUAAAUAGCAGGAUGGAGAGGGCUGGAGAGGCCCUGGGAAGAUGUGAGGAAGACUUGUUAUGAGACCUUUUGUGGUCCAGAAGAAGGAUCAGGAGGAAAUGAGUAGGGUGGGCUCACUAAGGCUGACUGGUGAGUGAGUGAGAGUGUGGGUAACUCUAAUGUUUGGCUUUGCAGAAGACUUUUCUGGCACUCUCGCCACCACCAGGGAGGGCUCAUCCAGAUCUGUCUGCAGCCGUGUGCUCAUCCCACCUGAUUGUGGUGGUGUGCAUUCAUGACACCUCCUCCACUGCUGUGACACCUGUCCUGCAGGGCAGGUGGCAUCUGUGUCCACUGUGCCUGGCUCAGAUGGAAAAUGGGGCAUGAGCAAAUAUCACAGGAGCAAAUCCAGGUGACAUAUCCACCAGAGAGCUGGAAACUCCAAAAGACCAAGUGAAAGGCACCAAAGACAAAUAUGAACACGAGGAUCCUGCAUCUUCCCUUGCUCUCCUGUCUGUUGGUGAAGCACAGCAUGCUCUAGAGACACAUGUUUAGUUAUGGAGGCCCAUACUGUUGGCUUGGUCUUGUGUGUGGAGAGGAAUAGAAAGGGAGAAGGAAUGCAGAGGUCCAGGGAGGAAGGCUGUGAAGCUCGGUGGCCCAUGUUGGCAGAGGAGGUAGCCUGGCCUGCAUACCUGCUUCCCUUCAUUUUUCUAAGCUUGUGGGCCAGCUGUGGCCAUGUCCCCAAGGAACAGCUCCCCACAGGCUGAGAGCACACCAGUGAGGCAGUUCCAUGGAUUGGUCUCAGAGGGCUGUGACCCCUAGAAACCGCAUGCAAAUGUGCAUGUGUGUGAGACAUGCCACAUUCUGGGGAGACACCCCAAGAGCUUUUGCUCAGCUUUUCAAAGAUGCCUGUGGCCAUCUAGAGCCUGAGAACCGCUGCUAUAAGGAUCCAGUCUUACUUUUCUCCCCACAUUAAAUCCUAGGAAGAACAAUAAUAUAAAAGAUAGGGAAGAAGACCUAGAUCCAUACUUGCUCAGAACUACAUCCUGCAAUUUCCCAGAGCACCCACACAGAACGUAGAACCCAGUUCCAAAACCACUCUCAUAAAGCCAAAGGCUGUAGAGUUGCAGAGCCAGAUGGACCCUUGGAAAUCACUGUGACGCCAGGUCGUGUCUGGGGCAAUCAGGAAGGCACACAGAGCUUAUCAGUGGCAGCGCUGGAACCUGACACAGCUCCCUCCUCAUUCAUUGAUUCUCUUUUUACUACUUGCCUUAUCUCCCAAAACUUACAUUUUAAUAAUUCAAAACUUUUUCUUUUUCUGAGGCAGGGUCUGGCUCUGUUGCCCAAGUUGGAGUACAAUAGCAUGAUCUCAGCUCACUGCAGCCUCGGCCUCCUGGGCUCAAGCCAUCCUCCCACCUCAGCCUCCCAACCAAGUAACUGGGACUACAUCACCAUGCCCGGCUAAUUUUUUUUUUUGGAAGAGACAGGUUUUUACCAUGUUGUCCAGGCUGGUCUCGAACUCUUGAGCUCAAGCCAUCUGCCUGUCUGGGCUUCCUAAAGUGCUGAGAAUACAGGUGUGAGCCACCAUGCCUGGCUUCAAACCUUUUUCUAUCCAGAUAGAGUUGCCAAACAGGAAACCAUUUUUUCUGUAGAUGUUUAGGUUUCUGGGGAGAGAAACUUUUCCUUCGAAUUGCCUCUCUAACCACCAUAAAACCUGGUAGAAGAUGGAUCUGUUGCUUAUGUCUGAAGUUCUUUAUAACUUACCACAUUGACACCCACGAGCUGAUUUACUUUACAGGGGAACACUGAGACUCAGAGAUGAGAUGACUUGCUUGCUGCUUCCUGCCACCCACUUCAAAGCUCUCCCCACCAUCUCUCAGCCUGGGCAUUCAGAUAUGCACAUUCUGGGAUGCUCACAGCAGGGAACCAGUAGCCAGUGUAUCUGGCUUGCUGCUCUGUUUUGUGGGGGUGAAACUGACCACCCUGCUAAUCACAGCCACUGGGGGAGAGGAAUAAGGUCUUGCCUUGAUUGAAUUAGACUCUAGAUAUACUAGAGUCUGAUUUCUAAGCAACCUGCAAAGUGAGUUUUUAAUCACCAUUUUACAGAUGGAGAAACUAAUUCAGAAAGGGAAAAUGCUCAAGGCCACAAGGUAGUAAACUCCCAACUAGACAAACCUCAGGUCUGCCCAAUUCCUCUUCCUGUGUUUUCUCCAUAUCAUCUCGCUACAUGGGGCUGUGAACUUCCCCGCCUGCCUCCCUGGGGCAGUCCUAGCCUCCUCUCACCCCUGCCCCUUCCCUUCUUUCUCUCUCUUAGGAGUGCCAGCUUCUCCCAGGGUUCUGGGGCCGCAUUCCUCAUGAGGAGAAGCACAGCCGUGCAAAAUCUUGCCCAGCACAGUGGAUACGGUGUUGAUGGGGUCAGCGGUCACAUCCAUGGCUUCCAUAGCCUUUCCAAGCCGAGCCAGCGCAAUACAGAAUUCAGAGGCAGCACCCACAGAAUCCCCUGGAGCCUGGCCUCCCAUGGCCCCACCAGAGGCAGCCUCACAGGCUCUGAGGCGGAUAAAGAGGGUGUGUACCCCUUCAAGGCACCCAGAAGCACCCUGUGCCAGGAGUUUGGGGGCCACCUGGUGAACAAUAGUGGUGUUCCGGCCACCCUACUCUCAGUGCACCAGAUUCCUAGGACAGUCACGUUAGACAAGAACCUCUAUGCCAUGGCAGUGGCCACUCCUGGGCCCAUAGCCUCCCUUCCCCUGCCCAAGGCAAGGCAGGCAGAAGCAUGUCAGUGGGGCAGCCCUCAGCAGAGACCUUCAGUCAGUGAAAGUAGCAGGUGGUCCAUUGCUGCUGCCAUCCCCAAGCGGAAUACCCUUCCUGCAAUAGACAACAGCCGAUGUCGCCAAGGUCAGUAUGAGCCCUUACUGAGACCCAGAGGGAGAGGGGAGGUGGCACCGGGUUCUCAGUGGUUAGCUAGUCCUUGGUCUCCCAUGGCCAAGGGAGACUUGGGAGCCACUCAGGUCACUGAUAGUCAAGUUCAUCUCCUGCCUGGACCUUGACUGCUGGGUCCCCCAGCACUGGAGGCUGUUAAUAGACACCCAAUGGCAAGACUGUGGCAGACUCGGCCUCCACUAAGGGAGACAGAACAUUCUUAGUUACAGUACAGCACAUAUGGGUUUGGAAUUCUAAAUCAUCAUAGUGUAUAUAUGUUUAAAUCCAAGUAAAGACUUAAAACAGAAAUUUAGGAGAUCAGUCCAAAACUAGAGCCAAACCAGUGUGGACUAACAGACUGUUGAAACAAAAUGAGAUCUUCAAAAUAUUUUCCAGCCUAUACUUGGAUAUCUUUGUUUGAAGUCUAAACUUGUGUAUUUGAAAUACCUAGAUUCUUUUGUCAUUUGUUUUCCACUGAGAGUAUUUUAUAUCUGCAUAUAACCUCCUCUCCUCAAUAAAAAAAAAAUAGAUCAAUAGUAACUCCUUUCCUGUUGCAUCCGUUCUUACACCUUGCAAAGCCUUUGUUUAUUCUUCCUGUUAUGAGAGAGUCUGGUGGGGCAAAGCCUUGUUUUCUCCAUUUUAUAUGAGGCCCAUGGUACUUAGGCUUAUUCAGGGUUAAAAGUCAUAAGUGGCAAAGAUGAGCCUCACCCUGAGGUCCUGGAUCCUGGGUUAGAGUUCUUUGCAGUCUUCUCAGUGUUUCAGCAAUUUGAACAAGGUCCUUGUGUUGUGAAAUUGAAAUGAUAGAGGUAUAUAUAAAACAUGUUUGCUGUUCAGAGCUCACAUUUAUGUAUAAAAUAAAAUGCAACCGACAUGCAGAAGUCAGUACAAGCACUCUUUACUAUUCCUGGAGGUGGCAGGUGGGUGAAAGGGAUGGGUGGUGGGUGCUGUAGGAGUUGAAGGAGAGGUGUGUCCUGAGGGCAGGCGUCCAGGAGGGACACUCUGUGGGUAACACUGGAGCUGGACCUGGAAGCCCAGGAGGAGUUGUGGUAGGGAGCAGGGAUGUGUUAGAGAUAACGCCUUGUCAUUUGGGGUUGAGAGUCAUGUCCUCUGGAGCAUCAGGGAGACCCUGAGCAGCACUGGAGCAUCAGGGAGACCCUGAGCAGCACUGGGGAGGCAUCAACACAUGGAUCAGCUGUGAUACAUGUGGAUCUCCUUCCUCUGUCAUAGCUUCCUCUGGCAAGUACCCCCAGCAUGGUGGAGGGAAUGCCAGCCGGCCAGCUAAGUCCAUGCAUGAGGGAGUCAGUUCUUUCCUGGUGAGUAUGGCUUAACCAGGGGUCCCCAGACUGGCUUAGGGAGGUAAAGGUCACACUCCAUGGAACUAAAAGCACAUCCCCCAAAGGGUGACAGCAUCUCCCUCCUAGGAGCCUGCCUAGGUUCUUGCCUCAGUUCAGAACCAUAGGUUCAGUUUUUGGAUAAGUGAGGCAGGUAUCCAGGUCUGGAAGAAAGUGAGUACCGAAGUAGACGGGAUCACAAGGCUUAUCAGCGCUGUGGGUAGCAGAGGGUGCAGAAUGCUGGGGUUCUGGAUGCUCUAAGCAGGCGCUCUAACUCAUGAGGUCCCCUGGAGCAGGAGUGCUUCCCUGUGAGCCUUUGGUAUGGGUAGGCAGAGGGGACAGGCUGCUGGGGCGGUGGGUGAUCUGAUUCAGCAACCUUAUCCAGGAGAUCCUCUGGAGCAGGGGUGCUUCUGUGUGAGCCUCAAGGCAAGGGCAGUACUCAGAGUCAGGUGAGGUGGAUGGAUUCCAGGCUGCCACCUGGAAAGGGUAACCACAGUUCUCCAAGGUGUCAGACAAGCAACAAGACCUGGUGUCAGGCUCCUUACAAAGAUGGUGGGAAUUAGGUAACCAAGGCAGAGGGCAGAUGGGGCAGGAGCUGGAGGAAGGCUGUACCUAGGUCUGCUGCAUUGCAGAACUCUGUGGCAGCUCUGCCUGCAGCUUGGUGGUCACCCAGGAGCCCGAGUGAGCCCCAGGCUCCUUAUACCUCCCUGAUACCUUGUCAGCUAAUGACAGCCACUGGGGGAGAGGAAUCUCCUUGUAUGGGGAAGUGCACCUCGCCCCUUACCUCACCUUCCAGGGCUAAGACAUCUGGUAUGAUCCUUGAUCAGGGCCUGAGAUGCUGACCUGCCAGUGCCGAGUCAGGACUUGAGGUGGAUGGUGGGUCUCGAGGCCACACCUGCAUGGUGCACGGCCUGUGCUGCCUUUUGCCUGGGUCCGGUAUCCGGAAACCCAGGUGGACAUUGGGUGCUGAGCCACACCUGCAUGGUGCAAGGCCUGUGCUGCCUUCUGCCUGGGUCCAGUAUCCGGAAACCCAAGUGGACAUUGGGUGCUGAGCCACAUCUGCAUGGUGCACGGCCUCUGCCGCCUUCUGCCUGGGUCCAGCAUCCAGAAACCAGAGUGGACCCAGCCACUAAAGAUAUUUUAUCCUAUAGAUUUGUCACAAAUUGUAGUUGGACCCCAAGGGGUCCUGAGAGCUAGAAGGGCCCAGACAUCUCAUUUUUUUCUUGCCUCUACUUUGAUUUCAGGGUCUUUCCAAGGUCACUCUGUUAGCUUCAAAGUGUAGCCCUCCCCAUGUAGUGAGGGCUUAUAAUUGUAUGCUGUCUUGGCAUCCACACUGAAUGGAGGUGAAACUUUCUCAGACCAGAGGCAGAGGACUUAGUGUCCCUGAUGGUUUCCGGUUUUGCACCACACCCAUGUGGCUUCAGUCAGUGGCCAGAGAUAGGAAUUUAGACUCACCUCCCCCAGCCAGCAGACUGGGCUCGCCACUUUCUUGCUGCUCCCUUUAAAUAGACCAUCCAGGCAUUUACUCCGACCUUAAUUAAGUGAUCCCACACCCCAUUCUGCAAGACACACUGCCAGUUGCCACCCUCUCUCCUCUUGCUCCCUAACCUCCCAGGACCCAUAGGAACUGAAAACUCUUCCACUUUUACAUGUGACUAUGUCAUGGAAGCUGCUCCAAAGUCUGACCCCUGAGGCUGCCCAGAGGGGCCCCAUGCAUGGGGUUCCUGGCUGGAGCACUUCUGUCUGGGCUGCAGGUGGCUGCUGAAGACAGCAGCCCCCAGCCAAGGUGAUCAAAAGUUUCGUUCAAAACACCCCGUCAUGACCCUUUUUGGCUUUGUCUAGAAAUUCUCAUUCCUAUCUUGUUCUUACUGGUGAUAGCUGUGUUUCUUUCACUUUCCCCUUCCUAGCCAGGAAAAACACUUGUGGGCCUAUCAGACAGCAUUGCUUCUGAGGACAGCUGUGUGCCCAUGAACCCAGGCUCCCCCGCCCUGCCGGCUGUGGAGCAAGCAGGCGAUGAUUCCCAGGGUGUCUGCAUCUCUGUGGGCUCAUGUCUUGUUUGCUUUGACCUGCUUGGCUCCCCACUCACAGAGCUUUCUAUGCACCAAGACCUCAGCCAGGGACAUGAGGUCCAGCUGCCCCCUGUCAACCACAGCCUGAAGCCUAACCGGAAAGGUAAGUCUUUCCCCAUUCUAUCUAUUGACAAUGUCCAGGGACUCUGCAUUCGCUUAGGGGUCAGGUGGAUCCUGGAUGUGGAACGUCUGACUUUGGCAAGUCAUGUGAAUUCUCUGAGCCUCAGUUUUCUUCUCUGUGAAAUGGAGAUAGUAACUCCUACUUCUUGGGUUUGUUUGGAAGGAGAGUGUCUGGGACAGUGGCCCUGCCUCACAGCAGGUGUCCAGUGAAGUUUGGUCUGUGCCCUCCACGUGUAGACCAGGAAGAAGAGCUAGAGUUCAGGUUCCAGGCUGCCAUGACCUCACCUUGUGGCCUUGGCCCAGCACAGGGUUCAAGGAAGAAGUGGGAUAACUGGGUGGGUAUUAGUCCUGUGGGUCUAGCCACAGGGAACCAGACCCAGCGAGUGGCGCUGGAGCCUCAGCACCUCAUGGUGUCUACCUGCUUCCAUGGUGGGCUACACAGCCCUGUCCAAGGCAAGCAAGGGCAGGCAUAGGGACUAAAUCCAUUUCAAACAUUGCGUCUGUUUUUUAUAUCAAGUCAAAUUUAGGCAGAAAAAUCUAUUGUCAGACUAUGAGUCCCCAUUUUGGAUUCUGAAAAUACAGUGGCUAUAGAUACAGUGGGAGGAGCAUAUGAUCUGGAAUCUGAGAACAGAACUCUAAGGCCCUUCAGCAUGACCCAGCUGAUACAGCCGUGCCAAACCUCAGUCCCCCGCACACAGCUGGGUGGAUGGGCUGGGUCUUUCUAAGCACACCUGGGCCUUGUAGCAAAGUGGACAUGGGUGUGGUGUCAUCACUGGCUGAUGACUGAAGGUUCUUUUCCUGCUCCAGCAAACCCAACACCGCCCAACCUGAGAAACAACAGGGUCAUCAAUGAGCUCUCCUUCAAGCCACCUGUCACAGAGCCCUGGUCUGGUACCAGGUGAGUGUCUGUCAGUGGAAACAGGAGCUUGGGACCGGGCCGGUGGAGGGGUGAGUGGGAUGGUGAUUGGCUUGUGGUCAGGAUAACCGGAUGCUGAUGUUGAUGUGGACAUAGCUGACCCUGUCUCCGUCCCAUGAGGUGUGACGGCCUUCUCAUCUGUAAAGGGGGAAUAAUGACCCCUGCCCAUAUCAGUUCUUGAUCUGGUAACAGUGUGAGGCCCGGAUGCUUGAAGUCAGGGCUCAGCUGGAGGCUGGAGCCCUGACAGCAGCCCUAAGCCCCACCCAGGAUGUACUCCUUGCCUUCUUCCCACAACAGCGACACCUUUGACUCCAGCUCCUCCCAACACCCCAUCUCCUUGCAGAGCAUCACCAACACAGACUCAGAAGACAGUGGAGAGAGGUAUAUUUUCCUGGUGAGUCCUUGGGGGUCACUGUAAGGCUCCUAUCAGAGUCCCCUGGGACCCACACUCAUGUUCCCGCUUCCCAGCUUAGCUACCUCAGCUGACCCACCCCAGCCCAGUCAGGUGUGAUUUGGUCUCCUAUUGCAAACCCUUCUUGAGCACAGGUGUAUCAGGCAAUCAUUAGGGUUAGGAAGAUGAUGGUCUCCCCUCAAGGAAGUCUAGAACUUGAAGAGCAGAGGCAGCCCACCUCGCCCUCAUGACGGUGAUACAGGUGGUGCCCUGCCCUGGAAGAGGCAGAGUUGGAGGUGUCUGCUUGGCCAUGGGGAGACACCCAUGUACAUGCCUCACCCUGGUGAGGGCUGUGAGAGACGUGGAGAUGCAGGUGGAACACAGGAUACCCCUUAGGUUGGCACUGAAGAGGGCAUCAUGACCAGCACUUGAUAGUUGCUGCACAGAUAUCGGAAGAAUGAGCCAGCCAGCAAAGCAGCCAAAACCCAGAGCCCAGGGUGGCCACUUUUCUCACUAGAGCCAGACUUCAGGAAUGUCCCAGCAAGGUGGCAGCCUUCUAGGGAGGAGGCUGCAGGACCCCGCAUAUCUCCUGGAGAGCUGCCAAGGGAGCAGGCUCCAUGCCGCCUCGGGUGGUGGGCACUGCCAAUCUCUGGGAGCUGGAGGGGGAGGCAGCUGCUUCAUAGGAUGGACCCACUCUGGGCCAUGGGUGGGAGUUUCAGAUGACUGACUGGGUGCAGCAUCCAGUGUGUGAAGGAGAGGCACAGUAGUAACACCUGGCUCACAGGACUGCUGAGAGGGUUUGAAUGAGCAGAGAGUGCCCCAGUGCAUGGCUCAGAGUAGGACCCAGUGGGCUCGUAGCUACGCCCACAGGUGUGUUCCACUGGGUGCUGGGUCUGUCUGUGUCCUAAACUCAUUUGCAGGAUUUUCCUCCUUGUGACAGCAGAACCCGGCAUCUGCAUUUCCUGUUUCCGGUGGCACCAGCAGUUCAGCCCCGCCGAGGAGCACUGGUAACAUCCAUUACGUGGCCCUGGACUUCCAGCCGAGCAAGGUGCCUGGGGUGGAGCUGGGGUUGGGCCCUGGGGGAGAGACUGUGGGGCCAGGCCCUUCAGCACCGGCAGCACCAGGCUGCUGGGCCGCCACUCCCAGCCUGGUGCCUGGCUCUUAUGCUCAGUGGUGCUCUGAUCUGGAUAUCGGGGCUCCUGUUCCUUCCCUCUCAGUGUGGUGCCUUCAUCAGCCUGCCCUGACUCCCCGUAGAGACAGAUGACUGUGUGGAGACCUGAUCUGUGGAGGUUGCGAAAUAAAUCAGGAGAGACCCAGGACCGGCAACCUGGCUCCAGGCCAAACUCUUCUGUGAGGAGAACUCACUGUGUGGGAGGGUUUCAGAGCCCGGCCAUUGAUGCAGGGGGCCUCAGAAGGAACUUCUGGGCCCAGGAAAGCCUCCCGAGAAAGCACAUGUAGCCAGCCUGUCUAGACAGCAGGGUGGAGAGCUCCACCUCUGUGCAUUGCCCUCCUUGGGGAGAUAGGGCUCACCAAGGGCACCCCUGGAAAGGCCUAGGCUGGUGCUUGUUGACACCUGGGAAAUUUCCUGCCAUGGAUGAGUGUUUAGAGGGGAAGGCCUUGGCCAAUCCUUGGGCCAGAGAAGGGCCUGGCUCUUCCUGCGAGGUGGGAGAUGAGAAGUGCUGGCCAGGGCUAUGGCAUCCAGCAGGAGGAGAGGUUAGCCUGGAGUUGAGGCUUUAAAGCCCAGGCCUCCCAGGCUGCUGAGAGCAGGAGGCAGAGGUUCCUUUCCCCCUGAGAAAGUUUGGGAGAGCCCACUCCUUGGCCUGCCCUUCCUCACCAGGACCUCACAGACACUCCCACUCCCACUUCCACCCUCUGUCCCUCAGCCAUCCAUAGGCUCUGUGACGUCCGGCAAGAAGGUGGACUAUGUCCAGGUGGAUCUGGAGAAGACCCAGGCCCUGCAGAAGACCAUGAGUGAACAGAUGUGCCUGCGGCAGUCCUCGGAGCCUCGCAGGGGUGCCAAGCUGUGACUCGGGCCACCAAAACCAGAGCGGGGCCAGGACAGUGCCUCAGAGCUGCUCUUCCACACUCUAAAGCUCUGUAAUAUCAGGGACCGCAUCCCUUACCCAGAGAGCAGAGGCCUGAUCAGUAUACAUCCUUUGCCUGCUUGGGGCCCACCUGUGCCUUUGGCUGGCCAUGGUCCCCACCUUCACCCCCUUAAACAUGAAGAUGAACAGCCGAAAGCCACAAGAAGCAGGGCUGGAGCUCCAGAGACUGGGGUGACAAGGACCAGGGUCAGGGCCCCAGAAAUCUGGAGCUGCAGGUUGGCUUUGCUGCUCUCUGCCGAUGCUCCUUGGGGGGCCCUUGCCUGCCUAAGAAGGCUUGAUCCCAGCUGGGCAAAGCAGCAACUGAUGGGGGACAUACCUGCAGGAUGAGGGGUGGGAUGGCGGAGGGAGCGAGGGAGGAAGGGAGCAUGUGCAGAUGGAGAUGGCUCAGGGCUGAGGGGGUCCUGGGACAGGCAGGGGCCCAAGGCGGGGCCCAGGAAUCUGCAGUGCAGGUGGUGCAGCACGUGACCUUCUGUGAAGGGGGAGCAGUGGGGAGAGCACAGAGGGAACCCAUGGGAGGCAAAGUCGGGGAGACAGCCAGGGAGAAGUGGGGAAAUGUGGCUGGGGGCCCUGGGGGCAUGCCAGAAGUGGUGAAAGGAAUACAGGAGCAGAAGGUGAAGGGGGGUCCGCUGUGCACGGGAGCAGUGUGGGAGGCCAGCUGGAGGGGUGUCUGGGAUGCGGAUAGAGCCUGCAGGGAGGACGGCCUGGGGUGGGGCUGGGGCUUGAAAGUUUUUGACCAAAAUUUCCAAGAGUUUCAGAAUGAACAGGGCAGAGCAGACGCUUCAUCCUACCUUGGGGUGAAUAGACUUUCCUCCUCCAAAAAAUGACUGCCCACAGGGUUUGAUGGAGGCGGCCUCCACACCCUGUCAGCACCUGUGAGCACCACACUUCACCAGACCAGGGGCCUGGCUGGCUUCUGGGGAUCCAUCCCUCAGCAGGAGCCGUCUCCCCUGGCAGCUCAAAGGCUCAGGUGGCAAGGCCCCGGGCUUAGGCACUGAGGACACGGGGAAUCUAUCAGACCUUUUCCCAAACUUGACAAGGUCACAUCAGUGAGGGAAAGGACAAGGACACAGGCAGUGGUGAUGGAAAAGAUGGGCUGAGGAUGCUGAUGGGGUGCACAGGAAGUGAAAACUCCUCAGAGAGUGGAGGCAGAGAAGGUGGUUUUUAGGACAAGGGGUGCCUGAAUUAGGCUUGAGAGGUUAGGUCAGAUUUUUGCAGGGAAGGAGGGCAGGGCCAGGGUGCAGUGGAGGAAGAAGGAACGACAGACUGGAAAAGCCUUGUGCUGAGGGGCCACAGGAGCUUUGGAGGGCAGGUCCAGCUGCUCUGAACUGCAGGGGCCAGGCCUUUGUGCUCCCACAGGUGGAAUGGUGAUGGCCGUGUGGCCACACUGGGCAGAGUGUGCAGGGUACUGGCUCACUGGCCCAGCCCUGACUGUGUCCCUGUAAGGUCCUCUACAAGGGGUCCCAUACAGCGCAGCUCUUAACUGCCAUCCCCUGUCCCCAGCUGACUACAGUGGGGCCCAGUAUUGAUCUCAGCUCCCAGCCCAGCCACCUUCCCUGUUGAUCCCAGGCUGCUAAGAAAGUGCUGCGUGUUCUGUAUGCGUGGUGUGCGUGAACCUGGUGGAGGCUUCGGAGACUGAGGUGUUCAAGUCCCAUCUCCAGAGGGGUUCCUUCCAGCUCUUGGUUCCUGUGACCACCAAAACCCUGACGGUGAAAGUAGGGGUGGAGAUGGAAAGAAGGACGAGAAGAGGACGCUGGCCUAUUGGAAGCAAAGCUCUACUCCCAAGCCUGGACUCCAGCCAUGUCUAGCAUGUGUCCACCCCUCCACCCGCCAUCCCAGAAGGAAAAGUCAACUCAGCUUAAUACAGGGGUCCUUGGACCUAUCUUGAGGUAACCUCCCCUGGUGGCCUGGCCAGGACUGAGACCCCAAAAAGGGACACCUCAGCCAAUGCAGCCCACAUGGGGGCUUGUCCUGCUGGGCUUUCCAGGGGAGCCGUCUUCACCCAUCCCCACCACCUGCAAAGUUAGAGAGCAGUCAGGUGGGAACGAUGAGAAACGGGCAAGGACAUCUCCCUAGGACCUUGCUUUCCCAUCUGUGGAGUGGGUGGUUGGAUUCGACGUUUUCUGGCCCCUUCCUAGGCUGAGGCUCUGCUGGUCUCAGGGAGCUCCUUGCUCUGUUACUUCUCUCUGGUAUCACGGAAUCUAUCUUCCUCAUCUGUAAACUGGACAUUGUGCUAGCACCUGCCAGUCCGUCUUUCUUAGAAGGGAGUCUAGAGGUGGGUUCUGAGAGGGCUUCAUCUGCGUCUGUGUCCACUGGGCCCCUGGCAACAGGUCCCUGAGGUCUGACAUCUCACAACUCCCCUCCACUGCUCCACCCACUGCACAAGUGGGGCAGCCCUUAAGGUCCCUUAAGGUGCCUUUUCACCUUCCGUGUUCUCCCAAAUGGCAAUGUAGGCAUGGUGCUCGCGGACCCUGUGGUAAAGGCUGCUCUCAGGCCCUGUACAUGCCCCACUUCUCUGCUUCAACUCUAGGACGGGGUGGGACCCAGGAAAGGAGCCAGGUUGCGGGCUCUGGAGUGGGAAACGUGGUGAGGGCUGAUCCUGGGCUCUGCGAGUGUGGCUGCCCCUGCGUUUCUGUAGCUCCAGGAUGGGAUGGUGCCUGUGGUAAGGAGCUAGGUGUAGGCAUGGUAGGUGCACCAUGGCCCUGUGGUAACAGCUGGUCCUGGGCCCUGCCAGUGUGGCUGCUCAUGUGCUCCUCUCCAGCUCCUGGAUGGUAUGGUGUCCAUGGGAAGGAGAUGGGUUUGAGUUCUGGAGAAACGGGGCUGCCUCCCAGCUAGCCCUGACCCGUGCCAAGUCCAGCUCUGGAGAUGUGACAACCCCCACUCAACCUCCCCAGCUUCUCAGAUGCAAAGAAAGAGGAAUGUGGCAUCUGCAACAGGUGUUUGUGGGCAGUCCAGAAUUCUUGGGUCUGAAACAUCUCCAGUUAUUUAUUUGGGUUUCAAGUGCACCUGAGAGGUGAGUCCCCUCCACAGUAUUCCACUGGGAUCCCCCAUCCUGUGCACCCUUCCUCUCUCUUGCAUUCCAUCCUCUAGGUCCUCCCAGCCUCAGAACUAGGCAAGUCCUUCAGCACACAGGGCUGUCACUCCAUGCUGUAUCUCAAGUGAUGGGGACAGGGGUAUGUCCUCUCCUUACCAAGGAGGAGCAUGGGUCCCUAUCAUGCUGCCCAGAUGCAGUGAGGAAAUCGAGGGUACAGCAUACAGGAAGAGCAACAGCUUUCAAAGGCUUCAGAGAGGCUGGUUUCAUACUGUUUGAGAACAAGGGUCUUUCUCUUCACAGAAAAGAGGCUAUAGCAAGGUCAAGGCACAAGAAGGUCACUGGUCUGCCCCUGCUCAGCCCUCAGGUACUGCUCUGGUUGUCCAUGGCUGAAACUCAUCCUGCUGGCCAAAGCCUUUGCUGUUCCAGUUGUUAAAUGUUUUGACACCACCCUUAACUCUAAAGGGUGGAGUCACAGGCACAGUUAGGAGGUAGAACUAACCUCCCACUGACACUUGGCCAUUCACACUCGUAGAACAGCACACUAUGCCUGAGUCUUUUUGUCCAACUUUAAUUUACAAUCAAGAUAUAUGUGUAGGUUUGUUACAUGGGUAUAUUGUAUGGUGCUGAGGUUCGGAGCAUGAGUGAAUCCAUCACCCAGGUAGUGAGCCUAGAAACCCAUAGGUAGUUUUUGUCAACCCUUACGCCCCUCCCUCUCUCCUCGCUCUUGUAUUCCCAAAAGUCUGUUGCUCCCAUUUUUAUUACCAUGCAUACACAAUGUUUAGUUCCCACUUAUAAGUGAGAACGUGAUAUUUGAUUUUCUGUUUCUGCAUUUGUUUGUUUAGGAUGAUGGUUUCCAGCUGCAUCCACAUGGCAGCAAAGGGCUUAAUUUCAUUCCUUUUUUAUAGGUGUGUAGUACUUCAUAGUGUACAUGUGCCACGUUUUAUUUAUUCUACCCAUAAUUGAUGGGCACCUGGGUUCAUUCCAUGUCUUUGCUUUUGUGAAAAAAAAACCUACCAUUGAACGGUAGUUCUGUUUUAAGUUCUCUGAGAAAUUUCCACACUGCUCUCCACAGUGGUUGAACUGACUUAAAUUCACAUUAACAGUGUAUACCCACUCCUUUUUCAACAGCCUCAUCAAUGUGUUAUUUUUUGACUUUUUAGUAAUAGCCAUUCUGACUGGUAUGAGAUGACAUCUCAUUAGGGUUUUGAUUUGCAUUUCCCUGAUAAUUAGUGAUGAUAAGCAUUUUUUUCAUAAAUAUUCUUGUAUGUCUUUUUUUGAGAAGUGGCUGUUUAUGUCCUUUGCCUUCUUUUUAAUGGGGUUAUUUGCUUUUUGCUUGUUCAAUUGUUUAAAUUACUUAUAGAUUCUGGAUACUUGACUUUUGUUGAAUGCAUGGUUUGCAAAUACUUUCUUCCGUUACGUAGGUUGUCUGUUUACUUCCUUGAUAGUUUCCUUUGCUGUGGAGAAGCUCUUUAGUUAAUUAGGUCUCACUUGUUAAUUUUUGUUUUUGCAGCAAUUGCUUUUGAGGACAUAGCCACAAAUUAUUUGCCCAGGCUUAUAUUUAGAAGGAUAUUUCCUAGGUUUUCUUAUAGGAUUUUCAUUAGUUUCAGUCUUUCACUUAAGUCUUUAAUACAUCUUGAAUUAAUUUUUGUAUGUGGUGAUAGGUAGGUGUGAUGUUUAAUAAUGAGUAUUAAUAAUAACUUGACUGGAUUGAAGGAUGCAAAGUAUUGUUCCGCAGUGUGUCUGUGAGAAUGUUGCCAAAAAAGAUUAACAUUUGAGUCAGUGGACUGAAAGAGGCAGGCCCACCCUCAAUCUGGGUGGGCACCAUCUAAUCAGCUGCCAGUGCAGCUAGGAUAAAAGCAGGCAGAGGAACAUGGAAGGACUAGACUGGCUGAGUCUUCUGGCCUUCAUCUUUCUCCCGUGCUGGCUGCUUCCUGUCCUUGAACACUGGACUCCAAGUUCUCCAGCUUUAGGACUCUUGGACUUACACCAGUGGUUUGGCAGGGGCUCUUGGGCCUUCAGCCACAGACUGAAGGCUGCCCCGUCAGCUUCUCUACUUUUUAGGUUUGGGGACUAGGGCUGGCAUUUUUGCUUCUCAGCUUGCAGACGACUUAUUGUGGAACUUCACCUCAUUAUUGUGUGACUUAAUAAUCUUAAUAAACUCCGUUUCAUAUGUACAUCUAUCCUACUAGUCCUGUCCCUGUAGAGAAUGCUGACUAAUACAGUAGGGGUCCAGUUUUAUUCUUCUGCGUAUGCAUAGCCAGUUACUCGGGACCAUUUAUUACAUAGAGAGUCCUUUCCCCAUUGCUUAUUUUUGUUGACUUUGUUGAAGAUCAGGUGGUUGUAGGUAUGCAGCUUUAUUUCUGGCCUUUAUAUUUUGUUCCAUUGGUCUAUGUGUCCAUUUUUGUACCAGUCAGUAUUAGGUUACUGUGUCCCCGUAGCAUAGUUUGAAGUUGGGUAGUGUGAUGCCUGCCACUGUUUUGUUUUGCUUUCUGUUCUGUUUUGUAUUCUUUUUUUUUGCUUAGGCUUACUUUGACUAUUCAGGUUUUUUGUUGUUGUUCCAAAUGGAUUUUAGAAUAAUUUUUCUAAUUCUGUGAAAAAUGAUGUUGGUAGUUUGAUGGGAAUAACAUUGAAUCUG
RNAcentral lists this small RNA (72997 nucleotides) under Pongo abelii (Sumatran orangutan). RNAcentral describes it as "sense overlapping". The record is from RNAcentral. Lineage: Eukaryota; Metazoa; Chordata; Mammalia; Primates; Hominidae.